This 68099-nucleotide long non-coding RNA is filed under the name Citrus maxima (pomelo). RNAcentral's name for it is "long non-coding RNA (CMAX_LNC000994)". The record is from RNAcentral. Lineage: Eukaryota; Viridiplantae; Streptophyta; Magnoliopsida; Sapindales; Rutaceae.
GGCACUAGAAGUACUAAUGGGAAAGCAUCCUGGAGAGCUCCUCUCAUCGUUAUCUUCGUCAUUAGAUAAAAAUAUUAAGCUGAUUGAUUUGCUGGACCCACGCCUCUCACCUCCGGUGGAUCAAAAGAUUAGGCAGGAUAUCAUUCUUGUUUCAACAGUAGCAUUUUCAUGCUUGCGUUCUCAACCAAAGUCUCGACCUACAAUGCAACUCGUGUCCAACGAAUUUAUCGCUCGCAAUAAGACACCAAUGCAAAAACCUUUUCAAGAAAUUUCAAUUUUGGAGCUUAGAAACCAAGAAAUGUAUUUGGUUGAUUAAUGUGAUAUCUAAUUAUGGAUAUAUAUAUUUAACUGUUCAUGUAUGUGAUGGGAUUGCUUCUAAUCCUAAUGGAAUUUUCCAAUAAAGGUGACUGUUAAUUGGUUCUGAAAUUAUUAAGUAGUAGCAAUGUAGCAAAUAUUAUGUGUUCGACGAAUUGUCUCCCUUAGUAUUAUUAAUUCUAUUUACACGUUCACUUCCUAUACAUGUUCAAUUGCAAUUAAACGAAUGUGCAAACUACAACAUUAAUCUCAUCUAGAUCUCUCUUGCGAGUAGUACUGACCUGACAGAGGGUACAACUCCAAUCCAUGGGUUUCCUUGAACUCGUCAAAGGGAGCUCACCAGAACCUGCAGGUAGUGUGGCAGCUUCCUGCUUUGGUCCACAAAGAUUGGGAUAGGGCUUAACCUGCAGGGCUUGACAACCCUCCUCUUUCUGGUCCAAACCAACAACAAUUCUAUUAGCUUUAACUGAUUCCUCUUCUACUUUAAGUCUUCAUUUCUUGGCCAGCACUAUCUCUGCUUUCUGUAGAUUUUUUUAUCCACUUCUGAGCUCCAAGUAGUUCUUCUUCCUUGGCUUUCUGCUUCUUACCUUGAGGAUGCUCAUCUAGACCACCCUCCACUUUCUGGUUCAAACCAACAACAGUUUUAUUAGCUUUAACUGAUUCCUCUUCUACUUUAGUCUUCAUUUCUUGGCUAACACCAUCUCUGCUUUCUGUAGAUAUUUUUGACGUGGAUGAAGUGGAGUUAUUGCACAUUUUCUUAUCUCUAAGUAGUCCUGCUACCUUGGCCUUGUGCUUCCUACCUUGAAGAUGCUCAUCCAGACCUCUCUGGGUUGUAGCACUGACCUGACAGAGGGCACAACUCCACUGCUCGGUUUUGGUUGAAUUCGUCGAAGGGAGCUCUCCAGAACCUGCAGGUGGUGCAGCAGCAUUCUGAUUUGUUCCACAAAGAUUGGAAUUGGGCUUAACCUGCAGGGUUUGACCACCCUCCACUUUCUGGUCUAAGCCAACAACAGUUUUUUUGGUACCAACUGAUUCCUCUUCCAUUAGGCUUCAUUUCUUGGUCAGCACUAUUUCUGCUUUCCAUAGAUUUUUUUGAAGUGGAGUUAAUGCACAUCUUCAAAUCUCUAAGUAGUUUUUCCUUGGCCUUGUGCUUCUUGCCUUGGAGAUGCACGUCUAGACCUCUCUCGGUAGUAGCAGUGACCUGACAAAGGGCACAACUCCACUCCUUGGGUUUGCUUGAACUCGUUGAAGGAAGCUCUCCAGAACCUGCAGGUGGUGUGGCAGCUUUCUGCUUUGAUCCACAAACACUAGUAUCAGGCUUAGCCUGGAAAUGAUACCCAAACACAGAAACAACAAUGCCUUAUAUUAGUUAUCACAUCAAUGGUAAAAAUGAAAAGUAUUUCCAGUGAGCUCCAUCAUCUGCUGUUGUAGUACAGAUGAAAGAAUUUGUUUACAAAAUGAUAACGUGCAAAUUUUAUUUUAAAUUGUGAAUUCUCAAAAAAGGUGGGAAUGUAGAAGUAUAGUCAAAUAGUUAAUACAACCAGAAUCCUUGUUUAUUAACAACAUUUCCAGCAUUGAACUAGGAAAAUAUCUCCAUCCCAAAAAAGAAAAAAAAAAGGAAUAUGUUUGAAUAGGAUUAUGAAAUACUUUCUUAAUAAGCUGGACAAGGAGAGAUGAUAUCUUAUGAGCAUUUUAAUUCAUAAUUUGAGGAAAAACCAUUUUAAUGGAGCUUCCAGCCCAACGCACAUACACAAACACAAUCAAUAAGAUUUAACAUAAGAAAUUACCGGGAAAAGAAACAUCACAAAUCAAUCUGUACAAGUUCAUGUGACACUUCAUGGUAAACAUAUGUAACCUCUCUUGGAAACUUAGCUUGUGACAAGCUCACAUUUUCUCUGUGUUUUCGUUCAAAAAAGGUUUCAGACACACAUUAAUUCCAGGCUGUGGAGGACCACAUGUCCUCAUUGCUCAAAUUUUUAAAGCCACAUACAUUGGCAUUUGCACGCAUGGUCAAUGAGUUACACAACUCUGUUGUCUACUUGAGUUGACCAAGCAAACUGAAUUUGUGAACUUUGAGCGACAUAAAUAACCCAAUGCUAACAUGUUUGGAAUUAAAUCAAGAUUGUGAGUCCAAAUGUACUCCCCGACAAACUUGUCACCUGUGCAUCAAGACAAAGUCUUAUAGCACUAAGAAUGGACAUGUGAAUCUCUAAGCAACAACCUCCUAAUAACAUAAAAAUCAAGGUUGGUGUGGGAUAAAGCCAUUCAAAUGGACAUGUAAAGGGUAACUUUGAUGAAUAAGGGUUUAAGAGAAACAAUCUUAUCACAGAGUAUUUCAAUUGGAGCGGAUAAAGAAACUAACAUGAAACAAACUCACUUAUCUCUAUUUAUUUUUCAAUUAUCAUAGAUCCAAAAUCUAAAAUUAUCAUUUUGAGCUACCCUCAAUUAGUAAGCACUGCAUUGUCACUGCUUUCUUCUGAAAUUUUCCAUCAACAGAAAAUCUCUAACAAAUCAAAACAAGACUUACCAAGUUUCAUAAGUAUCAAAACAAAAACGAGCAAAGGUCCACAGGGAAGUUCUAGAAUGAAACAUUAAAACGUUUAGUUCAUGCUUCAAUCAUAUAAUACAAUAUACAAACAUCAUUUAAUCAUGUUUCAGAUAAAUUUUGCAAAUCCACAAUAAUAGACAUGCCUUUAACAUGGAAAGCAUCCCUUCCCACUUAAGGGUCUCCACAACUGCCUUACUAUCAAAAUUAGAUUAUAGUGUGAGUUAAAUUACCAGCACCCAUAGCCUCUGUCAUAUUAGUACUAUAGAUCUCGGAUUUUUCCUCCUUAACUUCAGAGCUGUCAGAUGUCUCCUUACUAGAGGUGGAACCAGUAAUUGCCUGUAAAUAAAUUUCAUCAGCAAAUUUGCACAAGUGAAUGUUCAUGUAUAAUCAAGUAACAGUUCCACAUAAAAAUCAAACAACAAACUGAAUCAACAUGGACUCGAUAAAACUAAUGGCAUAAUCAGACUACCAAUUAUCAGUUGAAGUUAAUUUUUAUACUCGCGUAUUUAGCUCCUCGACAAUAUGUACAUUAAAACCAGUAAAUAAAUAGAACAGAAUAAAGAAGAAUAUUCCAUAUUAUGAAAUAUCUGAAGAUAUUUAUGAAUAAAAAUGUCAGCACUGCUACUGAACAGCAUCACAGUUGAAGCUAAUAUUACUCUUUUAAAAAACAAAAAAAGAAAGAAAUGAAUUUGAAAUUAAAAUAUCAUAUAGUUACCUUAACGGUGAUACGUCGAUUUAGAUCAGCAUAAUUCAUCGUUCCCUGCGAUAAUAAAUCAGACACGAGACUCCAUUUCCAUUAUACACAAAACGCCCAAGCAUUAAGUAUUAACAGGAAGAAAAAACGACAAAAAAUUAUUGCGUUUUACCAGAGAAUUGAAAGAAGAAGUAGGCUUCCGUUGAUUGAAUCUGAAGCUUUGCAAAGGCAAAGCUGAGGAUCUGAAAUAUUAACCAAAAAAAUUAAAAAAUGAAAACAAAUUUAGGGAGAUUUAAAAUAAAAAUUAAAAAGAAAAAGAAAAAGCGGACCUUGGAAGAUUCUGCAGACAGUUCAUUGAUUGAAGAAGAAAGGAAAAUAUCAGAGCAAAUCGUUAAGCAGACAAGUGUGUGUGUGUGUGCGUAUUAAGUGUUGCAUUUCCAAUUGCGGGCAAUUUAUAGAGGUUGGCUGGGAAUCGGCAAAAAGGUUAUCAGCUUUUGACAGAUUCCCCAAAAUGCCAUUGCAUUUCGUUUGUUUCAGUUGCUCUUUUUGGUUCGUUGGUGAUCCAUCAGCGGGCCCGUUUGAUUUUUUUUUUUCGUUUUCCUUAUUUUCAUGGUGAAUUUUAUAUAAUUUUUUGAUUAUAUAUAUAUAUAUAUAUAUUUAUUUAUUUAUUAAAACAUAAUAAAAUAUAACAUAGUGUCUAAGUCAGAUUGAAAAUAAAUCAACACAUAUGAUUGUUGAAUUGUUAAUUGUGUUCGCAUCUUAUUUCAAUUAUUGCCUAUCAGUUUACAGUGAAUCUCAGGGUCCAUUUUUCGUGAGGUUAAUGAUUGCAUUCUGGGUUGUGUUGCUCUCAGUCUUUAGUGUUCAUUCAUCUUUUUAUGGUAAGUUGCAUGCAUUUGUUUUGUCUUUAGAGGUUAUGGUGUCUAAUUGAGCAGACACACGUUUGGCUUAUAGAUGAUAUGACUCUGAAACCAUGUCGCAGCUGUUGCUUGUUUUGUCUUGACGUGCACCCCUUGAUUAUACUCGGCGGGAUAAAUUUUGCACUUAUUUAAAAUAAAUAAAUAAAUAAAUAAAGAAUUUCCUGUGGGGAAUUCAAAGUGCAAAAACGAAUUGAUUAGUGAAGAGGAUACAGAGAUUUGACAUGAUAAUUAAUCAUCUCGUUAUGAUGUGUUAGUGUCUAAUUCACAAAUUCGGAUAAUAAAUUGCCACCCUUUCAUGUGAGACUAUUGUUAAUUGUAUUGUUCUCUUAAUAAAGUGUAAUUAGGCUAGCUACGUUACCCAGCGGUUGGAUUUACAUUGCUUCCAAUCCAAGGCUUAUAGCAUUAGCAUGAUUAACAUAUAUAGUAGCAUCGUAAACAAUGAUUGGAAUCCUGACAUCUUUGGUAGCAUGAUUGUAGAAAAUUACGACCAUGUUUGGGUAGCUUAGUUUAAAAGUUACAGUAUUAAAGUAUCAAGUAAAUAUUAGCUAUUGUAAUUAAAAAAUAUUAUAUCUUUAAUUUUACACUUACAUGAUAGAAAAUUUACUAUUUCUUUACUGAUUUUAUCAAAAUUAUUAUUUAUAAAUUAUGUAUUUACCACAUACUAAAUCAAGUUAAUUACUAGUAAAUAAUUAAUUACAAGUUAAUUAAAUUAGAAAUAUGUGUCCAACCAUUAGAACUACGUAUGUCAAGUUAGUUAAUUACUAAGGAAAGAAUUAAUAAUUUUCAUCGCAACGUAUUUAGUUACGAAACUGAUAACAAUAUAUAUUAGAAAAACCAUAAUUUUAUGAAAACUAAAGAUCAUUACUAAUAUAAAACUAAAAUCACCAAUGAUUAUAUGAUAGGAUAAUAACAAAUCCACAAUAGAUUAAAAAAACACGUCGAUUCUGAAGCUGAAUUUAUAACCGAAUCUUAAUUCUAUUUCUUCUGUAUUUACAUAAUCAUCCUGCUAAUUAAGGAUUUACAACUUUGCCAUGGAAGGUCGGUGGCUUCCAUGCCUUUUUUCUUCUUCUCCUCACAAAUUUUGCUUUUGCUUCCACUUCACCAUUAAAAAACAUCCCAAAGCUUGGUGUUGUGCGUGGAAGGACUAUUUUUCUAAACCCUAGUAAAAAAAUAUUAACUUCAGAACCAGAGGGUGAUCUCCAAACUUAUUAUGAUGAUCAAAUACUUGAUCACUUUAACUAUAAUCCACAAAGUUAUUUAAUUUUUUCUCAUAGAUAUGUGUUGAACUUCAAACAUUGGGGCGGUGGGGAGCCACGGCGGCGCCGAUAUUGGCAUAUCUUGGUGAAUAGAGUAGUCUUGAUGAUGACCUUGGUGGCACUGGAUGGCUUACUGAUAAUGCUCGUUGAUUUAAAGCCUUACAAGUUUACAAAGAGGUAAGUAAAGAAUCUGUUAUCAGGCUAGCUUGAUAAUCAUUGAAAUAGAGUUCGCAUACAAAAUAAUAAUAAUAAAGACAAAUCUUAAUCAGAAUAUUCUACAAUAUGAACUGAAAAGUUGUGAUGGAUUUUUUUCUUUAAUUCGAUUUUUUAUGCAGCAUCGGUUCUAUGGAAAAUCAGUACCUUUUAUAUCAAGCAAAGAUGCCCUAAAGAAUGCAACUCUUCGUGGAUAUUUCAACUCUGGUCAAGCUUUGGCAGAUUAUGCAAAGAUUCUCUUACACAUCAAGGAAAAUUUAUCGGCCGAAAUGUCUCCCAUUAUCGUUGUUGGAGCAUCUUAUGGAGGAAGUACAUUUUAAUAUUAUUAACAUACUUACAUCUUUUGAUUAAUGUCGUAUCAUUUGUUGCGUCAUUUUAUUCAUUUUGAUCUCGUUUGACCAAAAUAUUGAUUACGCAAAUAUUAUUUUGAUACAAAUUUAUUUUGCAUUCCAAUUAAUAAAUACUUUCAGCGAUCAUAAAACUAAGAAAUACUAAAUAUAUUUAAGAUAAUUACGUUUUUAAAAAUAACCAUCUUACAGUGCUUUGGGAGUAGUUGCGUCGUCCGCCCCAAUUAUCUACUUUGAUAAUAUCACACACUCAAACGCAUAUUAUGAUCUUGUCACCAAUGACUUUAAGGUAAGAAAUAAAAUUAAUUAAUUAAAAUUCUAUACAUGUAUGAUUGUGUUUUCUUGUUAAAAUUUAACCAUUAAAUUUUGAAAAUUAAUGAUGCAAGAAGCCAGGGAGAUCUGCUACAUGACCAUCAAACAGUCCUGGGCUACAAUGGAUAAAACGGCUGCUAGAAAAAAAUGGACUUGCUUUUCUCUCUAAAAAGUUCAAAACCUGCAAGAAAUUAAUCAUAUUACUUUACAUAACUGCUUAUAUAUAUCCAUCCGAUUUUCCCUUAAUUACAAUUAAUGCAAUGUUAUUGUAGCGUCAUUAUCGAAUGUACUAUGUCUAAUUAAUUAUCUGUCAUCCUCAGAGUAUAUAUACAUUUCGAUUAACGUGUAAUAUACAAAGUAAAAAUCUGGAUUUGGGCUUAUACACGGCCUUUGCAUUACCAUAUAUAUAGUAUACUGGUGCUUAGAUUCAGCCCUCCAGAGUGUUCGUAUUUUACAGAAUCUAAAUUUGAACUACAAAACCACGCGCAACUCUGAUUAUCAAAUAAGGCCAAAUUUGUACGUUUGCAUUUGAUAAUAUCAAUAGCUUCAUACUUAUAAAGUUUAUUGUAAUCUAACUAAAUAAAACAACAUUUUUUAGACGGCAUGUUGAAAGAUCUUUUAUAAUGUUACUAACCUUGUGGCACUUAAUUCUAUGUUGUUGUUGUUUAUUUGAUUACAAGCCUCUGAAGGAUGUUUCAGAAUUGAAGGAUUAUUUAGAGUGUAUGUAUACGGGUGCAGCUCAGUAUGAUGAUCCUCAGGAAUAUCCAGUGAACAAAGCUUGUGAAGGUAUCGAUGGAGCUUCAGAAGGCACGGAUACCCUAGGCCGGAUAUUCUCAGGAAUUGUUGCUUUAAGAUGGGAGAAUUCUUGCCAUGAUGUUGAUGAAUUCUUAUCCGAUGAAACUCUAGACUCGAGCUGGGGCUGGCAGGUAUGUGAUUACGGGUGACCUGAUUUCAUUAGAUACUUCUAUUGAGAUCGUCAAACAAACAACAUGUUGCGAUGAAUGAAUCUCUCACCUAGCUAACAAUACCUAUUUUAUGUACAUCUCUUAAUUUUAUCUAUGAGACUACAUAUUUAUGAAUGAUUAAAAAUAAUUUUCUCCUUUAUUUAGUUAUUUAUUUAUUAUUAUGAUUUUUUUUUUGUUUUGGGAAGAGAGGGGGAGGGGGGGAGGGGAUUUCUCAUGCAAACAUGCACUGAAAUGGUCUCAUCGAUUGGAAUUGAUAAAAAUAAUACAAUUUUCAAGCAGACGAUAGAAUAUAUGAAUUCAGGCAAUAAGUCUUAUAGAGUGGCUCCAAUACCACAUUGGAUUACAACUUAUUAUGGCAGUCAUGUAAGUGUCAAUUAAUCCCCAGAUUAAUUCUUUUAAUAAUUUAAUUUUUUUCAUUUUCUUUUUUAAUUAUAAAUUUUAUCUCGAUUUUUGUUCGAUUUUUAUUUCUUUUUAAUUUGCAGUGUAUAAGAGUGGUUGUAAAGAGAUUUGGUAGCAACCUUAUUUUCUCUAAUGGCUUUCGUGAUCCCUAUAGCAGCGCUGGGUAAUUAAGCUUAAGAAUUUUGGACAAUCUUUUCUAUCAAAGUUACCUAUUUAAUUAUAAACCUUUUUCUUUUUCUUCUUCUUCUUCUUCUUUUUUUUUUUUUUUUUUGAGAUUACAGUGUUCUGGAAGAUAUAUCAGAUAGCAUAAUAGCAGUGGUAACAAAAAAUGGUAUCUAAAUGUUUCUGUAAAAUACAAAAAUUAGUGUUCAAUUAUUAACUAAAUUAUUGGAUAACAUAAUUAAUAAUGUGUAAAUUAGAGCAGGUUCCCAUUGCUUAGACAUACAGCCAGCAACAGAAGAUGAUCCAGAGUGGUUAGUAAUGCAGCGAAAGAUUGAAGUGGACAUGGUUUAUGAUUGGAUCCUUAAAUACUCUGCAGAUUUGCUUCAAAAUCAGAGCAUAAGAUUAAAUUGGGACUGCAAAAUUAGUGUUUUCUUUUUCUUCCUCUCCUCUAUCUUUCUAAUAUUUAUGGAGCAAAGAUAAAUAAUAGAGCACCUAGCUAGUUUAAGAGUUCAUUUUCAUUAUUCUUAAUCUGGGUUGUCUAAAUGUGUAGAACAAGUGUGCAGUAUUACUUAAUGUAAAGCACAUAUAAAGGGCUCAAUCUUUAUGUAAUCAUCAUAUGGUGAAUAUCAAUUCAUGUACAAUCACAUUGAAUUAACCAUUUUCUCCCUUUGAUUUAGGAGUUACUGUAUAGGUCGUUGAAGCCGGUGAGAGUAAAAUAAUUUGCUCUCCAUGUACAUGUAUCUCUCAUUCUCAACCUGUUCCUAUGCUUCUACAUAAUAGCUUCUUUUGUUAAUUAUUUGACAAUCUCAUGCAAUUCCAAACAUGACUUAAAAUCAGUUUGAGAUUCCGGUGGCUAUUGAAAUAAACUACUUCUGUUAUACAGAUAAAAUAAGCUAAUGAUUAUAAAAGUAGCUCGCUCAGUGUUUGGUAAAUUCAAUUACGAAAGAACUAUUUUAUUAAAUAAUCACUAAAAUAAUUAUAAGUUUAAAUUGUCUUUUAUUUAUAUAUUAGGAUUUAUAAAAAAAAGUAAGAUACAAUUAUUCUUUUCUUAGUUAUAAUAGAAACUUUUAAAAAAUACAUUUUAUUUAAUAAGUUGCUUCUAAAAACAAUCCCAUACUUGUUUUAAAAGCAAUUGUCAAAAUACAGAAAAUAUAAAUUAACUUUUAACAAAUUUACCAAACAUUAUUUUUAUCAAAACUUAUAAAAUAAACUGUUUAUAGUAUUUCAACCGUAAUCCCAAAUAGGACAUUAGUCUUUGUUCAAAAUAAACUGCUUCAUUCUUUUUUUUUCCACAGCAUAUGUCAAGACGUAAGUUCCAAAUCAUUGCUGACUAGGGGAAGAAGUCUUCAAAGUCAAGGUGAUUAGAUUAGCAGGUCACGAAAUUACGUAUCGGAGGGGUUCCCUGCCCUCAACUUAAAAAGAUGCCUUAAAAUUAAAUAUUAAAUAAUAUGGCAUUUAUUAAAUUUAAAAAAUAUAAAAAAAAUUAAAAAGAAAACCUUUUUUUAAGUGCCCAGAGGUUUGAACGGCAACUAUAGGAUUGUUUCACGACGAACUUCAAAUGUGCAAGACUAAGGCAGGCCUAUCACGAUUUGGGCCAACUUUGGUAUACUCAGGAAGGGGCACGGAAGAGGGAGCAUUUUGGUUUAUAUUUUACUCAUACACACAUGAGUAAUUAUAUACAAACCUUUCAUGCCUUCACUACCUUUUUCAUGUGGGACAAAUGUAUUUUCCUUUAAUUUUCCAAUUCCAUGAAUUUACUUUCAGUUACCAUUUCUCAUUUAUCCAAGGAUCAUUUUGAUCAUAUAGAUAAAACCAUUUUGAAGUAUUUACAGAGAAAUAUUUGAAACAAUUUUAACUUUUCACUUACACCACAUAGGUCUCACUCAAAAUCACGCCUCAAAUAGCCACUUGUGCUAUAUUUCCAACACCUUCUGCCUCUUUUCUUUAUUGAUCGCAUGCAAAAAAAUUGAGUGCAAUGAGAUUUUUUAUCUUCUUUCGUCUAUGAUGUUUUUGUGUAAAAAAAAAUAAAAUUCAAAUGGAUGUUAAGUAGCCCAUGAAUUUCCAUAGUUUGUAUGUUACAAAAGGAGCUUUGUAACUAUUUUAAAAAAUAAACAGAUUAUUUUGAUUAUUUUGUCAAAUCACAGGAGUUUACACAUUCUUUUCUCUAUCAGUUUAUUUAUAAUAUUACACCUACACGUUUUUUUAUACAAAUUAAAUUUACACAAAGAUAUGAUUAGUCUUGUUUAUUUUCCUAUUUGAGUCAUAAUUUACAACAAGAACUCUUUGAGCUUUUUAUUUAUUUUAUUAUUUUGGGUGAUAUUUAGUAUCUUAAUAAUGCUAUUAACUAUUUCUAAUAUUUUCCAUAUUAUCUCAUAUUUCUGCAAUGUUAUUCAAAUAGAUCUACACCACACAAAUAUAAGCCAAUAAGCCAAUUGGAUAGUACUAUUGAGACCGUCAAAUAAACAACAUGUCGCAAUGAAUAAGUCUUUCGUCUAACAAUACUUAUUUUAUGUACAUCUCUAAAUUUUAUUUAUGAGAAUACUUAUUUAUGAAUGAUUAAAAAUAGUUUCUUCUUUAUCUUAUUUAUUUAUUUAUAAUUUUUUUUUUAGGGAGGGGGAGUUCCAUCCAGACAUACAGUGAAAUGGUCUCACCAAUUGGAAUUGGCAAAAACGACACAAUGUUUCAAACAUACUCAUUUAAUCUGACAGAAUAUAUGAAUUCAUGCAAUAAGUCUUAUGGAGUGGUUCCGAGACCACAUUAGAUUACAACAUAUUACGGCGUCAUGUAAGUAUUGAUUAAUCCCCAAAUUAAUUCUUUUAAUAAUUUAAUUUUCCUCAUUUUCUUUUUUAAUUAUAAAGUUUACCUCAAUUGUUGUUUGAUUUCUAUUUCUUUUUAAUUUGCAAGAUAUAAGAGUGGUUUUAAAGAGGUUUGGUAGCAACAUUAUUUUACCUAAUGGCCUUCGUGAUCCCUAUAGCAGCGAGGGGUAAUUAAGCUUAAAAAUUUUGUACACUCUUUUCUAUCGAAGUUACCCGUUUAAUUAUAUGCCUUAUUCUUUUUCUUCUUUUUUUUUUUGUUUUUGGUCGGGGGGAGAUUAUAGGGUUUUGGAAGAUAUCAGACAAUAUAAUAGCACUGACAACAAGAAACAGUAUGUAAAUUUUUCUAUAAAAUAAAAAAUUAGUGUUCAAUUAUUAACUAAAUUAUUCGAUAACAUAAUUAAUAGUGUGUAAAUUGGAGCAGGUUCCCAUUGCUCAGACAUACUGCCAGCAAUAGAAGACGAUCCAUAAUGGUUAGCAGUGCAGCGAAAGAUUGAAGUGGACAUGCUUCAUGAUUGGUUCCUCAAAUACUCUUCUGAUUUGCUUCAAAAUCAGAGCAUAAGAUUAAUUUGUGACUACAAAAUUAGUGUUUUCUUUUUCUUCCUCUCCUCUAUCUUUCUAAUAUUUAUGGAGCAAAGAUAAAUAAUAAUAGUGCAUCUAGCUAGUUUGGAUUUGGUUGUAAUUUUCAUAAUUCUUACUCUGAGUUGUCUAAAUGUGUAGAACAGGUGUGCAGUAAACACUUAAGGCUCAAUCUUUAUGUAAUAAUCAUAUGGUGAAUAUCAAUUCAUAUUCAAUUAGAUUGAAUUAACUAUUUUCUCCCUUUGAUUUAAGAGUUACUGUAUAGGUCCUUGAAGCCGGAGGUAGUCAAAGAUUUGCCCUCCACACAUACAGACAUAUAAAAAUAUUCUAAUUCAGAAUUUUAAAGUGCGGAAACGGGGAAAAUGCAUAAACCGUGCAGUUUAAAUGCUUUAAGUAUUAAGCCUUUAAAACCCCGCAGUUUUAAAAUUUUUCCUAAUGUUUCUUGCACUUUAAGAUCCCGUACCAAAAAACUACUAUAUAUAUAUAUAUAUAUUAGGUGUUUAAGCUUGUAUGCUCUGUUUAUUAGUAGCCAAGCUUGCGAGUAUAUUGCUUCUGGCGAACCUCUUCCUAUUAUUCUCCUUAAUAGCUAUUUCUCUUAAUUAUUUGACAAUCUAAUGCAAUCCCAAACGUGACUUAGCAUCAAGUUUAGGAUGGCGGUGGCUAAUAAAAUAAGUUAUUUCUAUUGUGAGGACGAAAUAAGUUGAUGAUUAAAAAAGUAUCUUACUCAUGUUUAGUAAAUUUGAUUAUGAAUGCUGUGAGGAAAUAAGCUACUGGUCAACUAAUGGUCGUUGGGUUUAAAUGGAAGAUUUGAAGAAGUCUGGGGGCAUUGUGCAGAUCGACUUCAGCUGGAGGGGUCUAGUUGAAAUAUUAAAGCUGAUGUGGCAAGAAUUCGUUAUGAGUUCGUUAUGAUUUCCCAGAAAUACCAAAGUAUAUAUACGUGUGUUUUAGCCUCUGAUAUGUGGUUGUAAUCUUUCUCAUUUCUUGAUCAUUUAGUAAGCUAAUUGGUUCUUUGUGAUCCUUGUAAACUCCUCUAUAGAAUCAGCUUGUAAUUCGAUUCAUAGUGAUCAAUAAAAGAGCAGUUUUUCCUUCUACAAGUUGAGUGCUUGGAACUGUGCUCUGUUAAAGUUCUUUCCUGUUUCUUUCUUGAUUAGCUUGCUUUGAUUAGUUCUUUCUAGAUUCAAUACGUUAAUAGGGUUAUAACAAUUGGUAUCAGAGCCAGUGGUGGUUCAAAAACAUGUCUCUUCCAAAACCCGAUAUUGAAAGGUUCACCAUUGGUGGUGACUUUUCACUUUGGAGGAUGAAGAUGAGGGCUCUCCUUGUUCAUCAAGGUCUCAAAUCAGCGCUGGAAGAAGAUGAUCUUGGGGAUGCUUCAAGUUCAGUCUUUGAUGAGAAGAAAAGACAGAUACAGAACAAGGCUCACAGUACCUUGAUCUUGAGUCUCAGUGACUCAAUUCUAAGGGAGAUUUCUAAAGAGAAGACUGCCAUUGGUAUCUGGAACAAGGUGGAGGCCUUGUGUAUGAAAAAGUCCCUGGCACACAGAUUGUUCUUGAAGAAAAGGCUAUAUACCUUUUCUAUGAGAGAAGGAGUCUCGAUUCAAGAACACAUUGACAACUUCAACAAGAUCAUUCUUGAUCUUGAAGGAGUUGAAAAUGUGAAAAUAACUGAUGAGGAUAAAGCCUUCUUUCUACUGAGCUCACUGCCAAAAAUCUAUGAAGGAUUUGUAGACACCAUGCUGUAUGGAAGAACUACACUCACUUUAGAGGAUGUAAAAGCUUCUUUGAGUUCUAAGGAGAUCCAGAAGAAUAAUGGGCAUGAAGUUAGUAAUGGUGAAGGCUUAUUUGCCAGAACAGAAAAGAAAAAUCAGAAGAAGAAGAACCAGAGUCAAGCUAAAAAGGAUGAUGUAUCUGUAAAAGAAAAAAUGAAGAAAAGAAAGUGCUUUUAUUACAAGAAACAAGGUCACUACAUCAGGGAUUGUGCUGAGAAAAAGAGGGAUGAAAAAGAGAGAACAGGUGAUGCAGCAGUAGCCUCAGAAGACUCCUCUGAUGAUGGAUACCAUAGUGCUGAUUUGUUGGUGGCUUCAAACAGCAAUAUCAAAGGUCAGUGGGUUCUUGAUUUAGGCUGUUCAUUUCAUUUGUGUCCUGAUAAAAGCCUUUUCCAUACAUAUAAAUCUGUGGAUGGUGGUAGAGUUUUGAUGGGUAACAACAAUGUGUGUAAGAUUGUUGGUAUGGGGUCUGUCAAAAUAGAGAUGUUUGAUGGGUCUGUUCAAACUCUAAGUGAUGUAAGGCAUGCACCUAGGCUAAAGAGAAACUUGAUCUCUUUAGGCAUGCUAGAUGGUAUGGGAUAUAGCUUCAAAUCUGAAAAUAGUGGUUUGAAGAUUAUGAAGGGGACUGAGAUGGUAAUGAAAGGAGUUAAGAAGAAUGGCCUUUAUGUGUUAGAAGGGUCAUCAGUGCCUGGAUCAGCUCUAAUGCCUGCUGUUUCUGAUGUUAAUAGAACCAUGUUAUGGCACCUUAGACUAGGCCAUAUGAGUAUUAGAGGAAUGCAAGAACUGAGUAAGCAAGGGUUGCUGUGUGGUGAUAAUAUAGAUGAACUAGACUUCUGUGAAAACUGCAUCUUUGGCAAGGCACACAGGUCCAAAUUCACAAAGGGCAUACAUGUAUAUAAACAACCAUUAGAUUAUGUACAUGCUGAUUUAUGGGGGCCUGCACAAGUACCAUCCUUGAGUGGGGGAAGGUAUUUUAUGUCAGUCAUAGAUGACUACUCCAGGAAAGUAUGGAUCCACAUACUGAAGACCAAAGACCAAGCCCUAGAGAAGUUCAAGAUUUGGAAGACUUUGGUGGAGACUCAAUCUGGUUUCAAGGUGAAAUGCUUAAGAACAGACAAUGGACUUGAAUUCUGUAAUAAAGAGUUUGAGCAAUGCUGCCAGGAAUGGGGAGUUAGGAGGCACAAAAUAGUAAGAUUCACCCCUCAGCAAAAUGGUUUAGCUGAGAGGAUGAACAGAACACUUAUUGACAAAACAAGAUGCUUGUUGAUAAACUCUAAGCUUCCUAGGAGCCUUUGGGCAGAAGCUGUUUCUACAGCUAGUUACCUGGUAAAUAAAAGUCCAUCUUCAGCAAUUGGCUUCAAGACACCUGAAGAACUCUGGUCUGGAAGACCUGGAAAAUAUGAACACCUGAGGGUAUUUGGAUGCCCUGCUUAUGUCCAUGUCAGACAAGGGAAGCUUGAUGCAAGAGCUAUAAAAGGAGUUUUUGUUGGCUAUCCAGAUGGGGUUAAAGGCUACAGGGUCUGGUGUAAAGAGGCUAACAAGUGUCUGAUCAGUAGAGAUGUCCAGUUCAAUGAAGUGGCCAUGAUCAAUAACUCUGACCAAGCCACUUCUGCUAAUGACAUCAAUACAAGUGACACACAAGCCACCACAAAAACUGAGCAAGGUGAAAAGAUUGAAGUGGAGUUGUCUAAAGACUAUGAAGAUCAAAUACAACCAGAGGCUGUUGAAGCUGAAACUCAAGUAACUGAUUUACAACAAUAUCAGUUAGCUAGAGAUAGAGAAAGAAGACAUACCAGACCUCCAGCAAGAUAUGCAUAUGCAGAUAUGGUUGCAUAUGCCUUGAUGAGUGCAGAAGACGUUGCAAUUGAAGAGCCUAACAACUAUAGAGAAUCAAUGAGUAGCAAGAAUAGCAGAAACUGGAUUAAAGCUAUGAGGGAGGAAAUGGAUUCUCUGGUAAGAAAUCAGACUUGGAUUCUGGUCCCAAAUCCAAGGAAUAUGAAGAUUGUCAGCUGCAAGUGGAUAUUCAAGAAAAAGGAGGGCAUUCCAGGUGUCGAAGAUUCAAGAUAUAAGGCAAGACUGGUGGCAAGAGGGUUCACACAGAAGGAGGGGAUUGAUUUCAAUGAAAUCUUCUCACCAGUGGUAAAACACAAUUCAAUCAGAAUCUUGCUUGCUAUGGUGGCUUUGUUUGAUCUAGAGCUUGAACAAAUGGAUGUAAAGACUGCCUUCCUACAUGACAAUCUUGAAGAAAAGAUAUUGAUGUCUCAACUUGAAGGCUUUGAAGAACAUGGACAUGAGGAGUAUGUGUGCCUUCUUAAAAGGUCUCUAUAUGGCUUGAAACAAUCCCCUAGGCAAUGGUAUAGAAGAUUUGAUCAGUUUAUGAUCUCCAAUGGCUAUUCCAGGAGCAAAUAUGAUAGUUGUGUCUAUCAUGGGAUUAUAAACUCAGGUGGAGCAGUAUAUCUUCUACUAUAUGUUGAUGAUAUACUCAUUGCUGGUAAAGAUCUCAGUGACAUUAAAGAGCUCAAGAAUUUGCUGAAGGGGGAAUUUGAAAUGAAAGAUCUUGGCAGUGCCAAGAGGAUUCUUGGGAUAUAUAUUAUUAGAGAUAGAACAGCUGGUACCUUGUUUCUAAGCCAGUCAAGGUAUAUCAGCAAAGUACUGGAAAGAUUUCAGAUGAUGGACUCAAAACCAGUACUGACACCUCUAGGGGCUCAAUUCAAACUCUCUGAAGAUAUGUCUCCAACUUCAGAUGUUGAGGAGGAAAAGAUGGUUGAUAUACCAUACUCCCAAGCUGUGGGAAGCUUGAUGUAUGCAAUGGUUUGCACCAGAGCAGACAUAGCUUAUGCAGUAAGUGUGGUGAGUCGAUUUAUGAGUAAUCCUGGUAAGCUUCAUUGGGAUGCUGUAAAAUGGGUCAUGAGGUACCUAAAAGGAACCUUAGAUCAUGGUUUGAUGUAUGGUAAAUCCAAGCAUGAGGUAUGUGAAGUCAGAGGAUACGUUGACUCUGAUUUUGCAGGUGACUUGGACAGAAGAAAAUCCAUCUCAGGUUAUCUGUUUAUGUUGGAUAGUUGCCUCAUAAGUUGGAAAGCUACUCUACAGCACAUAGUAGCUUUGUCAUCUACUGAGGCAGAAUUUGUUGCUGCAACAGAGGCAGUGAAAGAAUCAAUGUAGUUGAGAGGGCUGCUAAAUGAACUAUGGUUGAAACAAAAAACAGUAGAAAUUUUUUGUGAUAAUCAGAGUGCCAUUCAGCUCAUCAAGAACCAAGUUUAUCAUGAGAGAACAAAGCACAUUGAUGUGAAGUUGCACUUUAUCAGAGACGAGGUUGCAAAGGGGUCAGUUGCAGUGAUCAAGAUACAUACAGACAUCAACCUUGCUGAUAUGCUAACCAAAGUGCUAUCAACAACAAAAUUUAAGUUUUGUGUAAACUUCAUUGGUGUUGGCAGCAGCUCUAGUUCCUGAAACAUGUGUCUUUGAAGGUUUUUUAUGUUACUUAAUUGAGAUGAUCAGCUGAAUCGAGUCUGCAAGGUGGAGAGUGUGAGGAAAUAAGCUACUGGUCAACUAAUGGUCGUUGGGUUUAAAUGGAAGAUUUGAAGAAGUCUGGGGGCAUUGUGCAGAUCGACUUCAGCUGGAGGGGUCUAGUUGAAAUAUUAAAGCUGAUGUGGCAAGAAUUCAUUAUGAGUUCGUUAUGAUUUCCCAGAAAUACCAGAGUAUAUAUACGUGUGUUUUAGCCUCUGAUAUGUGGUUGUAAUCUUUCUCAUUUCUUGAUCAUUUAGUAAGCUAAUUGGUUCUUUGUGAUCCUUGUAAACUCCUCUAUAGAAUCAGCUUGUAAUUCGAUUCAUAGUGAUCAAUAAAAAGAGCAGUUUUUCCUUCUACAAGUUGAGUGCUUGGAACUGUGCUCUGUUAAAGUUCUUUCCUGUUUCUUUCUUGAUUAGCUUGCUUUGAUUAGUUCUUUCUAGAUUCAAUACGUUAAUAGGGUUAUAACAAAUGCUCUGUAUUAUUUAAUGACUAAAAUAAACAUGAGUUUAAAUUGUCUUUUAUUUAUAUAUUAGAGUUUAUAGAAAAGUAAGAUAUAAUUAUUCUUUUCUUAAAAUAUUAAGGUUAUAAUAUGAACAUUUAAAAAGAUAUAGCAACUUAUUUGCUUAUAAAAAUAAUCUCUAUUAUGUUUUUAAAAGUUACAGUCAAAAUAGAGAAAAUUAUAAAAAAAACAACUUUUAACAAAGCCAUCAAACUUCAUUUUUAUCUAAACUUAUAAAAUAAGCUGCUUAUAGUAUUUCAAUCACAAUCCUGGGGCAUUAAUCUUUGUGUAGAAUCAGAUUAGACAUUGAAUAUUUCUAAUUUUCUACACAUAAAUUAAAAUAUGUAGACUAGAAAAACACCUUGACUUCGUAAGUCCACUUCAUUCUUUAAUUUCCGCAGCAUAUGUCAAGACGUUAUUUCCAAAUAAUUGCCGACUAGGAGAAGUCUUAAAGUCAAGGUGAUUAGAUGAGCGUGUUAUGGAAUCGUAGUGGUUCCCUGCCCUCAACUAAAAAAGUGGCCUUCAAAAUUAAAUAUUAAAUAAUGUGGCAUUAUUAAUGUUAUAUAUAUAUAUGUGUGUGUGUGUGUAUGUAUAUGUAUAUGUAUGUGUGUGUGUGUGUGUGUGUGUGUAUAAUAUUAUUAAGUAUUAUAUAUAUAUAUAUAUUAGUCUUCAUGUUUUGCACGGGUUCGAACGGCAGUUGUAAUACAAAGAUAUGGUUAGUCUUGUUUAUUUUCCGAUGAGAGUCAUAAUUUACACCAACAAUUCUUUGAGCUUCUUUUUCUUUUAAUUAAUGUUGGUGCUAUAAGUGAUACGACGAUAUCUGUAACAGCAUCGGCUCCUGGAUUAUUGACGUCACCCGUAGAGUUAGAAAGAGAAGCUUUACUUGGUACAGACUGGUGGGUCAACAAUUGGGCGACGUCGGGCAACUACACGUCCGAUCAUUGUAAGUGGACUGGCGUCAGUUGCAAUUCAGCGGGAAGAGUAAUCGGGGUCAGCUUACUCUGGUAUGAAAAUGAUAAUAUCAAGGGAAAGCUCGGUCGUUUCAACUUCUCUUGCUUUCCCAACCUCAAAAGUUUCAAAAUUCGUUCAAAUUAUCUUCUCUCUGGGAGCAUUCCAUCUGAAAUUGCUGCCGUUUCAAUGCUCCAAACUCUUGAACUGCCCUCCAACAAUCUUCACGGUAAGCUACCAAACUUCACUACAUAUAUAUAUAUAUAUGUAUCAUGUAUGUAUGUAUGUAUGAAGUCGUGCUCAUGCUUGAAGCAGGCGUCUGUUUUUACAACACUGAAGAAGUUUUUUUUAUGAUGAUUUCUUUAUAAAUUUUAUUUAUAUGAGGAUAGUGAAUACUAAUCUCGUUUUUCAUAAAUCACAUGCGCAAUAGAAAUUAUCCCUUCAGAGAUGGGGAGAUUGAGGAAUCUCGUCCACCUGGAUCUAUCUGAUAAUUACCUCUCGGGAUAUAUCCCUCCAACUCUUGGUCGUCUAAGCAAAUUGGAAAAUUUGAACCUGUCUUCUAACUCCCUUGUCGGUAAUAUCCCCCCCACUCUAGGUCAUCUAACCCAUCUAACUACUUUGGCUAUUGCCUGGAACCAAAUUAAUGGUUCCAUCCCAUUAGGAAUCAGGAGUUUGAAGGCUCUUCAAGUUCUUGACCUGUCCGGAAAUGAAAUUGAAGGUUCAAUUCCUUCAACACUUGGCCAUUUAAAGAGAUUGAGAAGUUUAGACUUGUCCCUAAACGAACUUGUUGGUCCAAUCCCUUCGUCUGUGGGUCAUUUGACUCAGCUAACUUUUUUUAAUAUGGACUCAAACCACAUAAAUGGUUGCAUCCCAUUAGAAAUCGGGAAUUUGAACUUUCUUCAAGUUCUUGACCUGUACGACAACAAACUUGAAGGUCCAAUUCCUUCGACCAUAGCUAGUUUAGUCAACUUAACAUCUCUGUCCCUGGAUUAUAACAAUCUAACUGGAUCUAUUCCUUCAACACUUGGUCGUUUAAAUAGGUUGAGAAGUUUAGACUUGUCCCAAAACAAACUUGUUGGUCCAAUCUCUUCGUCUGUGGGUCAUUUGACUCAGCUAACUUUUUUUAAUAUGUACUCAAACCACAUCAAUGGUUGCAUCCCAUUAGAAAUCGGGAAUUUGAACUUUCUUCAAGUUCUUGACCUGUACGACAACAAACUUGAAGGUCCAAUUCCUUCGACCAUAGCUAGUUUAGUCAACUUAACAUCUCUGUUCCUGUGCAAUAACAGUCUAACUUGAUCUAUUCCUUCAACACUUGGUCGUUUAAACAGGUUGACAAGUUUAGACUUGUCCGGUAACAAUCUUGUUGGUCCAAUCCCUUCGUCUGUGGGUCAUUUGACUCAGCUAACAACUUUUGAUAUGCACUCAAACCGAAUCAAUGGUUCCAUCCCAUUAGAAAUCGAAAAUUUGAACUUUCUUCAAGUUCUUAAUCUGUCCCACAACAAACUUGAAGGUCCAAUUCCUUCGUCUGUGGGUCAUUUGACUCAGCUAACUACUUUGAAUAUGUACAAUAACAAACUUGAUGGCCCAAUUCCUCCAGAACUCAUGAUUGCUCAAAGCUGAGGAUAUUAAAAUUGGGAAACAACUUGUUAAGCGGAAGCAUUCCGUCAGAGAUCGGCAAACUUCAAGAACUAUAUUUUCUUGAUCUGAGCCAUAACUUGAUUAAUGGUAAAAUACCUUCCCAGCUUGGAGCAAUUCCAAGCAUAGUUACCGUGGACUUUUGCAUGAAUAACCUCUCUGGUAGUAUCCCUGAAUCUAUCAGAAAAGUUCCUUUCUUAUGUGUGGAUGGCAUUUAUUUUGAGGCAGAAAUCCCAACUACUUUAGCAGAUGCGCCACCGCCACAUCACAAAGGCAAUCACAAAAAGAUUGCCACUCGAUUGGUUGCAAUUAUUCUUCCUAUGGCCACAUUCAUUGCCUUAAUAUUUGGAUUCUUGUUUGUCCGUAGACGAAGGGAUAAGAAAGUUGAACCAGCUGAGACAGAAGAAAUUAACAAGUGCGCUGAUGAGUUUGCAAUUUGGAAUUACGAUGGUAGAAUUACAUUUCAUGACAUGAUUGAAGCUACUGAGGAUUUCCAUAUCAAAUAUUGCAUUGGAACCGGAGGCUAUGGCAGCGUUUACCGAGCACGACUGCCCAGUGGAAAAGUAGUUGCUUUGAAGAAACUUCACGGUUCAGAAACUGAGGAGUUAGCUUCCCUCAAGAGUUUUCGGAAUGAGGCUCGUCUACUGUCCCAAAUACGGCAUCGAAAUAUCGUAAAGCUUUACGGGUUUUGUUUGCACGAGAAAUGCAUGUUCUUAAUCUAUGAGUACAUGGAAAUGGGAAGCUUGUUCUGUGUUCUACGCACUGAUAACGAAGCUGUUGAGUUGGAUUGGACUAAAAGGGUGAACAUUGUGAAGGGCAUGGCUCAUGCUUUGUCAUAUUUGCAUCAUCACUGCACACCACCAAUUGUUCACCGGGACAUAUCAAGCAACAACAUUCUACUCAACUUAGAAUUAGAAGCAUUUGUUGCCGACUUUGGCGUUGCUAGAUUGUUAAAUUUUGACUCAUCCAAUCGAACUCUAUUGGCUGGCACUUAUGGAUAUAUUGCUCCAGGUAAUCUUCUAGCUAUUCUUCUUGUGCUUCUUUAAUUAUUCUUUUAAUUAAUUUCUAUAUGCACUCUGUUAAGUAAGUUUUAAGCAGUUUUAUUUAGUUAGCUACUUAAGUUCGAAUUUUGGAAUAGGUAAGGUGCUGAAAGAUAAAUUUGAACUUUGCCUACCCGUUUAACUUUUUUUUGUAAAAAAAAAAAAUUACACGCAGUUUAAAUAUCAAUUAAAAAUGUAAACAAAUUGUCAGACCUUGCUGCAGAAGCUCAAAAAUAUAAACAAAUUGUGCUUGUUAUUGUUUAUGGAAACAUCACUAAUAAAGGCUUCUGUUUUCAUACAGAACUUGCCUACACCAUGGUUGUGACGGAGAAAUCUGAUGUUUAUAGCUUCGGAGUGGUGGCACUAGAAGUACUAAUGGGAAAGCAUCCAGGAGAGCUCCUCUCAUCGUCAUCUUGGUCAUUGGAUAAAAAUAUUAAGCUGACUGAUUUGCUGGACCCACGCCUCUCACCUCCGGUGGAUCAAAAGAUUAGGCAGGAUAUCAUUCUUGUUUCAACAGUAGCAUUUUCAUGCUUGCGUUCUCAAGCAAAGUCUCGACCUACAAUGCAACUCGUGUCCAACGAAUUUAUCGCUCGCAAUAAGGCACCGAUGCAGAAACCUUUUCAUGAAAUUUCAAUUUUGGAGCUUAGAAACCAAGAAAUGUAUUUGGUUGAUUAAUGUGAUAUCUAAUUAUGGAUACGUAUAUUUAACUGUUCAUGUAUAUGAUGGGAUUGCUUCUAAUCAUAAUGGAAUUUUCCAAUAAAGGUGACUGUUAAUUGGUUCUGAAAUUAUUAGGUACUUGCAAUGUAUUAUUAAUUCUAUUUUCACAUUCACUUCCUAUAUAUGUUGAAUUGCAAUUAAACAAAUGUGCAAACUACGACAUUAAUCUCUUUGGUUAAGCUAGGACUUUCGCAGUUCACUCUGAUAAAAUAAGUUUUGUCUAAUUGUCUCCGUCUGAGUGAGCUGAAUUAAAUAAGGAAUUUAAGGUUGUAUCUGUACGAGUUAAAAGGGUAAAUUGUCAUUUUAAUUAUUAGUUUAUUUUACAAAUUAUAUACAUAUACUUUAUUCAGAACGAGGUUCUUAAUGUCGCGUUAUUUAAUAUAUAUUAGUUUUUUCACUCCUUUGUAAAUAUUCACACAAACAUAUACAAAAAAAUUUUAAUUUAGCCGAUCCGAUCAAACAUCCUGGACCCACAGCUGAUGUUAGUAAGCUUUUGCAUAAGUUGUGGUUAGUGAUAUCUAGAGGUGCCAAAAAUACAUGCCCGGUCCGGACCCGGACCGUACCUGGGCGUUGUGGGCCGGGUAUUACCCAACCUGGGUAUGAAGCCGGAUCGGUCUUGGGCAUCACUUGAUAAACUCGGAAUCCGAAUUUUAUUAAAAAAAAUUAUAAAAUAUAUAUUAUUUUAAAUAUGUAUAUUUAUUUGACUCAUUUAAAUAUGUAUACAUAUAUAAAAUUUUAAACACUUAAAGUUUAUAUUUUCAUGUCAAAUUUUAUUGAAAUAAAUUUAAAACUUAUAAAAUUACCAAAAAAUAAAAAAUAUAUACACAUAUAAUAUUAAAAAAUAUAGCUGGGACCCGGACCCGGACCCGGUCCCAGACUGGUUGCAUCCGGACAGAGUCCGGUCAUUGCAAUACCCGAACCCGGCCAGGGGUUUUGCCAUCCCUAGUGAUAUCCCACCAACUACCUGCCAGCACAAGAUAAACUAAUGUCAGGUCAUGAUCAAGAAAAAUUUGCAUUGGGCCUAAGAGUCCAAUGUCAUAAUCAUGCAUAUAUGAAGCACUUUCAAAUGGUUGAUCUAACAGUGUCUGGUUUUCAUUUUUUGAGCUUUUUACCAACGACGGGAGAGUAGAGAACAACACAUGAUCCCCAUUACAGUAUUGUUGCUUGAAUUUACAGGCUUCAUCAUUCAGUACCUUCAAAUCCAUAUAUGACGAGAUGGAAGAAUGAACUUAAAUUUAUUAUUGUAAUUUCUGCAGUUUUAAAAUGAUAAAGUAACACGCAGCUGGUUCAUUGAAAUUUAAGACAUUCAAAAUGGAGCGCAAGAGCAAAAUAAAAGUUAAGAGCUUUAACUUCAGCAUAAUAAGGAGUCUGCUGCAUCAGGCUCACUUUAUCUGCCUCUAUAGACCACCACCUCUUCAUCUUCAGCCUUCUCAAUAACACUCUCUGCGGUUUCUUCAUUUGAUUCUUGGGCCACCGCAUCUUCAUCUUCAACAUUCUCAGUAGGCUCUGAUGGUGUCACAAUUGUAGUGCGGGUGGUGAGGGGGACAGCCUCAUUAUUUUUCCUAGAUCCAUUAGACCGAGCCAUAUGUUUCUUCCCCAUUUUAUGACCCUCCAUCACAACAGCGGAGUGAGUACCAACCUGAAAAACUUCACACCAGGAUUCGAAGUUCUCUCUAAGGGGAAGUUUUCUCCUCAUCGUCCCUUCAGUUGGUAUUCCAUUUGUUGUCUUCUGAGUGAUUGCAUUCAACGCCUUCUUCUUUGGCAGCUCCUCAUUUUUGUUCUCUGAAUCUUCUUCGCCCCCCACAUUCUGGUCAAAACCCACAACAGUUUUAAUAGCUUUAACUGAUUCUGUUUAGGCUUUCAUUUCUUGGCCGGCGCUAUCUCUGCUUUCGGUAAGCUUAAUUGUCUUUCCAGAUUCUUUUGAUGUUGUUGAAGAUGAGGUAGUGCACAUCUUCUGAGCUCCAAUUAGCUCCACUUCCUUCGCCUUGUGCUUCUCACCUCGAAGAUGCUCAUCUUGACCACCCUCCACUUUCUAUUCUAAAACAACAGCAGUUUUAUUAGCUUUAUCUGAUUCCUUUUCUACAGUAGCCUUAAUUUCUUGGCCAGCACUAUCUCUGCUUUCAGUAGAGUUUUUUGAAGUGGAGUUACUGCACAUCUUCUGAUCUCCAAGUAAUUCUUCUUCCUUGGCCUUAUGCUUCUUGCCUUGAAGAUGCUAAUCUGGAUCUCUGUUGUGAGUAGUGUUGACCUGACAGAGGGCACAACUCCAAUCCAUGGGUUUCCUUGAACUCGUCAAAGGGAGCUCACCAGAACCUGCAGGUAGUGUGGCAGCUUCCUGCUUUGAUCCACAAAGAUUGGGAUAGGGCUUAACCUGCAGGGCUUGACAACCCUCCUCUUUCUGGUCUAAACCAACAACAGUUCUAUUAGCUUUAACUGAUUCCUCUGCUACUUUAGUCUUCAUUUCUUGGCCAGCACUAUCUCUGCUUUCUGUAGAUUUUUUUAUCCACUUCUGAGCUCCAAGUAGUUCUUCUUCCUUGGCUUUCUGCUUCUUAACUUGAGGAUGCUCAUCUAGACCACCCUCCACUUUCUGGUUCAAACCAACAACAGUUUUAUUAGCUUUAACUGAGUCCUCUUGUACUUUAGUCUUCAUUUCUUGGCCAACACCAUCUCUGCUUUCUGUAGAUAUUUUUGACGUGGAUGGAGUGGAGUUAUUGCACAUUUUCUUAUCUCUAAGUAGUCCUUGGCCUUGUGCUUCCUACCUUGAAGAUGCUCAUCCAGACCUCUCUGGGUCGUAGCACUGACCUGACAGAGGGCACAACUCCACUGCUCGGUUUUGGUUGAAUUUGUCGAAGGGAGCUCUCCAGAACCUGCAGGUGGUGCAGCAGCAUUCUGAUUUGUUCCACAAAGAUUGGAAUUGGGUUUAACCUGCAGGGUUUGACCACCCUCCACUUUCUGGUCUAAACCAACAACAGUUUUUUCGGCACCAACUGAUUCCUCUUCUAAAUUAGGCUUCAUUUCUUGGUGCAGUAUUUCUGCUUUCCAUAGAUUUUUUUGAAGUGGAGCUAAUGCACAUCUUCAAAUCUCUAAGUAUUUUUUCCUUGGCCUUGUGCUUCUUGCCUUGGAGAUCCACGUCUAGCCCUCUCUCGGUAGAGCGGCGACCUGACAGAGGGCACAACUCCACUCCUUGGGUUUACUUGAACUCGUUGAAGGAAGCUCUCCAGAACCUGCAGGUGGUGUGUCAGCUUUCUGCUUUGAUCCACAAACACUGGUAUCAGGCUUAGGCUGGAAAUGAUACCCAAACACAGAAACCACAAUGCCUUAUAUUAGUUAUCACAUCAAUGGUAAAAAUGAAAAAUAUUUCCAGUGAGCUCCAUCAUCUGCUAUUGUAGUACAGAUGAAAGAAUUUGUUUACAAAAUGAUAAUGUGCAAAUUUUAUUUUAAAUUGUGAAUUCUCAAAAAAGGUAGGAAUGUAGAAGUAUAUUCAAAUAGUUAAUACAACCAGAAUCCUUGUUUAUUAACAACAUUUCCAGCAUUGAACUAGGAAAAUAUCUCCAUCCCAAAUGGUAGUUUCGUUAAGGUGCACCAAAUUUAAAACUUUAUCACUAAUAUAAAUAAUUAGUACAGAGCGAGUAAGGAUCGAUCCCACAGAGACUAUGCUAGUUAUAUUUAUUAUUAACUCCAAAGCAAGAUUUAAAAUAAAAUAAUAGUAAUAAUACUAAUAGUAAUAGUAAAAAUAAUAUAAAUUAAUCUAACUAAAGAAAAUGCCAAUUAAAAAUAAAAGGGGGGUUUAUGAAUUUUUAACUAAAUAGUAAGAAAUAAAGAAAUUAAAAUUACGAACAAGAAUUUAAUAAAAACUCUAAUUAAAGGAGAAAGAAAUAAUAAUGAUGAAAACUUUGGUUAAAGGAUCAUUCGCCACCACCAAACAUGCACAUAAUAUAUCAAUUCUAUCAUCAAUUUAUAUUAAAACUAUCAACCUUAGACAACAAUAAGCUCUGUUAGUCUCAAUCUUUCCUUAGUGUGUCGUUAGGCAAAAUAAGCUCUUCACCUAAUCUCUAACCAUUAAAUAAUUUAAAACAAGCUCUUUAAAUUUAAGAUAAUGGAAGCAUUAAACAGAUAAAGAUAUUAGGUUGAUCUAGGCAAUAAACACACAAGCUCGGAUUAUUUAACCUAGGUUAUGUUCUUCAAUUGAAAUCACUAAUUCCAACCUGCUACUAAUAAUUAAAAUAUCAAGACAAUUACGGAUCAAGAAUUUUAAUCUAGUAAUAAAAUUUAUUCAAGUCCUAUCUAAUUGGCCACUCAAAUAAAACAAGAAUAAACCAUGUACAUUAAUUAUAGAAGAACAUAAACAAUCUCAAUUAAAUAAAUUGAAUGAUAGAAUUUAAAUUUAAUUGCAUAGCAUGUUUAGGGUUUUGAAUUCACCCUCAACCAAAUAAAAAUCUAGCCUAACAUGAUUGAAUUGGAAAUAAGAGAAUUGACAAAACCAAUCAUGGAGAUCAAUUCAAGCGGCUGCCUUUUUCUUUAAUUGAAUUCCGGCUGCUGAUUUUUUUCUUCUUCUUGCGGCUGUUGAUUUUCCUCUUGCUGCCGAAUUGGAUCUGCCCUCUUCUUUUUUUCUGUCCAGCGGCUGCAAUCUCCUUUUAUAAUGCUAGUUGACCGAAUUCUUCUCCAACAAGAAUAAAGAAAUCCUUUUUCAAUUCUAAUUGAAAUCCUUUUCCAAUUUAACACCACCAAAAGCCAUUAAUUCCAACUUUUGAAAGUCAAUUGCUGGCCCGUUUAAAUGCUUUCUACUUUUGCAAUGCCAUGCACGUGUACUCCAAUUGCCAAUUGGAAAAAAUUAAAUCUUUUAAUUAUUCAACAUUUCUCAAUUAGAUUAAUUAUUUUGAUUUCUUCCACUCGGUUUUAUCAAUUUUUGUCUGUAUUUUUGUCUUCCAAUUUAAUCUUUAUUCCUUCUCAAUUUGAACUUCUUAAUGCCCUUUUUAUUCAUAAUCUCCAAUUGAUUUCCUAUUCAAUAAAAUAAUUUAAUUAAUUAAAAAUAACAAAUAAAAAUAACUAGUAAUUAAAUAAUUAAGGGUAAAAUAUGUAUAAUUUAAAAAUUAACUAAAAUAACUAGAAUAUUUAAGACCAAAACAAGAAAAAGAUGGAGAAGUUAAUAGUAAAAUAUAUGAACAAUAUGCACUUAUCAAAUUCCCCCACACUUACCCUUUGCUCGUCCUCGAGCAAACCUAGAACAAAAAUAAAAAGAAAACCUAAACUAGACCACUUUCGUAGGAAAUCACGAUUGCAUUUACCAUAUGCAACAAGCCUUUAAACCCCUAGGCGGCCCUAGUGGACGAGUUAUAGUCUCGUGAGGGCUUCAGCGAUGAUACCCACAAACAUCAUUGCAUUUUUUAUUUUAUUUUAGCAGAAAAAGAACAAAGGAAUUUAAAAUAAAACUAGCCUCAAAGAUUGCAUAAAUCAUAUAGCUCAAAGAAAAUUUCAAAUAUUAUCGAAGUUCUAACUUUAAUUCAAUAGUCAAUCACAUCUCUCUUUUGAUUCUCAUAGUGUGUGUGUGAAUCAAUUCUAUUAAAAUCCAUUCCCAAAAUCUUCAAUAUCAACAGCCUUUGCCUUGAACAAAGAAAAGAGUAGGUCAAACUAAUCUUAUCAUCUUGAUCUCCAAUUUUUUUUUCUUUUACAGGCAUUUGUGUGCAUUUUCUUUUGAAGUUCUUUUUUUUUUUUUUUUUGUUCAGGAGCUUUCACUCUACCCCUUAAGGUAGUCUUCUUCUCAUGGUAGAUUAUCCUCUACAUACUGGUGGUACAUAGGCCCAAAUUACUCAAGGAUAGCUUCACUCUUAAGGGUUAUAGGUAGCUAUUUCUGACUAUGGUGCCUGUGUAUACUACACUGUAUUGUGGAGAUAAGAAUCAAGACAAACAGUCAUUUACUCAAUCUAAAAUUCUCAACUCAGGCUGCGUCAAUCUCAAAUUCUAAGUCAAAAUUAUAAAAGAAUUUAUAUUAGUGCUCAUGGUUUAAAGAAUCUCAAUUAAGAGGAAAUCAACACAAGAAUCAAGUAUAAACUAAGGUAAUAUUCAACCCUUUCUAAGAACCAUAUUCAUUGUCAAUCAAAUUCUUAUCACUGGCUAAUAUUCAAAACAAUAUUUUUUUUUUUUUUUUGUAAAAAGAAAAAGACGAAGUAACAAAAACUAAGUUCGAAACCCACCCCCCACACUUAAUUCUUACAUUGUCCUCAAUGUAAGCCUAAGCUAACAAAAGACAGAAUUAAACAUGGGAAAAUGAGAUGAGACACACAAACAGAAACAAACAAAAUUCAACACAACGUAGGUAAAGUAAAUGAGAAUGAGAGGGAGAAAAAUCAAAUCUGUUAUGGCGUGCUCUCAAAAUCUUUUCUCCAGCCAUUGGGUUGCCUCCCAAUAAGCGCUUGGUUUAUUGUCCUCAGCCUGACCUGGUUCUCAAGUUUCACUCAUCAAUGUACGCAGGUUCAUAAAGUGGAGCCUCCUCUACAUUGAGUGUUUGAAAAUUUUCAUAGUAAGGUUUCAACCUAUGACCAUUAACUUUGAACUCUUUACCUGUCUUUAAGCUCUUGAUCUCAACUGCACCAUGAUGAAAAACAUUAAUAACAACAAAAGGCCCAACCCAUCGAGAACGUAACUUACCUGGAAACAACUUAAGGCGAGAAUGGAAUAGCAAAACUUUAUGUCCAACUUUAAAAUUCUUUCUCAAGAUCUGCUUGUCAUGAAAAACCUUAGUCUUUUCCUUAUAGAUUCGUGAACUCUCAUAGGCAUCAUUUCGAAUUUCCUCUAAUUCUUGCAAUUGGAGCUUUCUGUGUUGGCUGGCAGUGUUCAGUUCCAUGUUACAUUGUUUCACAGCCCACCAUGCUUUAUGUUCAAGUUCCACUGGAAGAUGACAAGGCUUACCAUAUACCAACCUGUAGGGUGACAUACCAAUAGGAGUUUUGUAUGCGGUCCUAUAUGCCCAAAGUGCAUCAUCAAGCCGUAAGCUCCAGUCCUUUCUAUUCAGAUUAACUGUCUUUUCAAGGAUUGAUUUCACUUCCCUAUUAGACACCUCAACUUGCCCACUAGUUUGGGGAUGGUAAGAUGUAGAUACCUUGUGAGUGAUGUUGUAUUUUCGAAAGAGGGCUUCUAUUGACCUGUUACAAAAGUGAGUGCCUCUGUCGCUGAUAAUUGCCUUUGGUGUUCCAAACCUUGUAAAGAUGUUACUUUUUAUAAAAUCUACCACAACCUUAGAAUCGUUAGUUCGGGUGGCUUUUGCUUCCACCCAUUUAGAAACAUAAUCAACCGCAAGAACAAUAUAGAGAUGACCAAACGAUGAAGGAAAUGGUCCCAUGAAGUCGAUGCCCCAAUCAUCAAAAAUCUCAACUAUAAGAAUGGGAGAUUGUGGCAUCUGAUUUCUAGGUCCCAAAUUACCUAUUCUCUGACAACGAUCACAAGAUUUGCAAAACACAUAUGCGUCCUUAAAUAGUGAUGGCCAAUAAAAACCGCUCGCAAGUACCUUAAGGGCUGUUCUCUUUGGUCCAAAAUGUCCUCCACAAGCCAAAGUAUGAAAAAAGGUAAGAAUAUAAGUAAAUUCAGUUUCGGGUACGCACCUUCUAAUAACUUGAUCAGAACAAUGCUUCCACAAGUAUAGCUCAUCCCACACAUAGUACUUGGCAUCACUCUUGAUCUUGGCCUUUUGUGCACGGGUUAUCUCUUCUGGUACUGUCUUGGUAACUAAGUAAUUGACAAUAUCUGCAUACCAAGGAGUAACUGUACCUACCUGUAAUAACUGCUCAUCUAGAAAGUUCUCAUGCAAUGGAAGUUCAUCUUCGUUAUGGAUAAGUCGACUCAAAUGAUCUGCUACCAAAUUCUCAGAGCCUCUCUUAUCUAGAAUCUCUAUGUCAAAUUCUUGCAAUAGAAGUAUCCAUCGUAUAAGGCGCAGUUUGGCAUCCUUUUUGGUGAGCAAGUACUUAAUAGCUGCAUGGUUAGAGUAAACGAUUACCUUAGAUCCAAUUAAAUAAGAACAAAAUUUCUCUAAGGCAAAGAUAACUGCUAAAAGUUCUUUCUCUGUGGUAGAGUAGUUAAGUUGUGCAUCAUUCAAUGUACGAGAGGCAUAAUAGAUGACAUGAGGAAGCUUGCCCACACGCUGGCCCAACACGGCUCCAACAGCAUAGUCACUGGCAUCGCACAUAAUCUCAAAUGGUAAAUCCCAGUUUGGUGGUUGAAUCACAGGGGCCGAUGUCAAAACCUCUUUUAACUUCUUAAAAGCUCUUUGGCACUCUUCAUUGAAGUCAAACGUUGCAUCCUUUUGAAGUAAGUUGCAGAGAGGUAAAGCUAUCUUGGAGAAGUCCUUGAUAAACCUGCGAUAGAAACCUGCAUGACCAAGAAAAGAACGAACCUCCCUCACACUAGUGGGAGGUGGUAAGGAGCGUAUAAGAUCUAUCUUAGAUUUAUCAACUUCAAUCCCCUUUUCAGAAAUAACAUGGUGAUGGUUGUCGAAGCCAACAAAAAUAAAUUCCUACUCUAAAUAAAUUGUGUAUAGUGAUUGAGCAGGGUCGUGUCCACAGAGAUCGGUAAUUAUUUAAAUCCUUUUGAAACGUAAAACGUAAAAUGGGGGAAUUGUAAACAAUAAUAAAAAUCAAAUUAAAUAACAAGAAUGCAAAUUAAAGUUGUAAUUCAAAUUGGAGAAAGCUCUAGUUGAAGGAAUUAACUAAGCUUGAUUCGACUACUGAUCAUUGAUUCAAAUAUAGAUUAUUAUUACUUAUGAAUAAACCGGUUAUAGCUAUUGAGACCCUCGAAUAGCCAAUCUCUCCUUAACUAGUCGAUAACCAAGGUACGACCGUUGGAAAUUUCCCUAAUCAAUAGACAACCCUAGAUACGAUCAUAGGAUUUAAUCAAUUGACAGCCUGAAAAACCAGAGAGACCCAAAUCCUAAUCAACACAUAUGAUGAUUCAUUUAAAUUAGAUUGUUUAUUCUCACAACACAACUCUCUGCUAUGUUAUUUGUCACAAACAUUAAAUUCUUCAUACGAUGAAUCCUUUAAUUGACAAUAGAUUAAGUUGAUAAUUAAAUAGUGGCCAAUUACCUAAUUAACAAACAUAAUCAUGAAACUAAUUCAGAGAAUAAACAAAUACCCAAAAAGUAAUAAAACAAUUAAAGCAUAAGAAAGAUCUCACAGUAGUGAUGAAUCAAAGCUUCAUUAUCCUUCAACCAGAAAAAUAGGUUUAGUUCUUCAUAGAGAGAAGAGAAAAAUUAGAUCUAGGGUUUCUUUCUUCUUCUCCAAUCCAAAAAUCCCCCCCUUCUUUCACAAUAGAUUCCUCCUUAAAUACUCUCUCUCUCUUCUCUUUUAGAGUUCUAUUUAAAAUAAAAUACUAAUAUCUUAAAUAUUAAAUUCGUAAUUACAAAAAUAGCCAAAAAUACAAAACACGUUAAACUAAAAACUGCAGGUCCGCAGUUGACAGCACGCGCCCACGCCUUAUCAAUAAAGUUCUUCUGCCGCUCAUAAUUUCUCCAAGAGAACAAUCAUCCUUAAAAAUCAUCUUGUAGCUCAAUUUUAUCACCAAUCAAUAGAAUUGCACCUACAAAAGUAAAACACAAGUAAAUUAUUAUUAUUAAGUGCAAAACAUCGAUAUUAAGGGAAGUAAACAAUGCAAAACUAGUGCAUAAAUUGCACUCUAACACAUGGCCUAGUACAAUACCUUGAUUAACCAUAAAAUGACAUUUUUCCCAAUUAAGCACAAGGUUAGUGUCAAUGCAUCGUUUAAGAACAAGUGUAAGGUUAUCUAAACAUUUAUUGAAAGAAUCACUAUAAACUGUAAAAUCAUCCAUAAAUACCUUAAUGAUGUUCUCUACAUAAUCAGAAAAAAUACUCAUCAUAUACCUUUGGAAAGUGGCAGGAGCGUUACAGAGACCAAACGGCAUGCGUCGGUAAGCAAAUGUUCCGAAGGGGCAUGUGAAUGUCGUUUUCUCUUGGUCUUCCGGAGCGAUAACGAUCUGAUUAUAACCCGAGUAACCAUCAAGAAAACAAUAAUGAGAGUGACCACUUAACCUUUCAAGCAUUUGAUCAAUGAAUGGCAGAGGAAAAUGAUCAUUGCGAGUGGUUGCAUUCAGUUCAAACUCUCCACCCAGUUUGAACUCUAGCUGGCACAAGCUCGUUUUCUUCAUUCUUGACCACUGUGAUGCCUGAUUUUUUUGGAACUACCUGCACAGGACUCACCCAUUUACUAUCAGAAAUGGGAUAAAUAAUCCCCACAUUAAGGAGUUUCAGUAUCUCCUUUUUUACGACUUCCAUCAUUGGUGGAUUAAGGCGGCGUUGUGCAUCUCUCGUUGGUUUAGACCCUUCCUCUAGCAAAAUGCGAUGCAUGGAAGGACUAAUUCCCUUAAUGUCGGCAAUGGUCCAGCCAAUCGCCGUCUUGUGAUCCCGAAGCACCCUAAUUAAUUUUUCUUGUUGAACUGGGGUGAGGGUUUUAGCAAUUAUGACUGGAAGUGUUUCAUUCUCACCCAAGUAAAUAUAUUGCAUGUGUUCUGGGAGUGGUUUAAGUUCUAAGGUAGGUGCAUGCACAAUUGAAGGUAAAAGUUUCUCGUUUAAUAAAGGCAAUUCAAGGUAAGAAACAUUAUACCCAUGGGUGCGUAAUGUGACUGCUCCAUCUAAGAUCGCCAUAGCUUCCUCUACCUCAUCAUCCAACUUUAUCAAAUUUGCAUGUUCCUUAGAAUCAUCUUUCGUAAGAUUUUUGCUUAUCGAAAUUUCAAAACUGUCAUUACCAGAUAAUUCAAAGAAAUCUUGCACCAAAGUAUUAAUAUCAUCCAUGGCAAAAACAGAAUGAACAUCACUAGGAUACCUCAUUGCCUCAAAGAUAUUGAAGCGGAUCACUUCACCAUCAAAUUCCAUUGUGAGGGUUCCAUCGUGAACAUCAAUCUUGGUUCGGGCUGUCUUAAGAAAUGGCCGCCCCAACAAAAUAGGAGUGGGAUUGGGCGACAACUCAUCCUCCAUUUCAAGGAUAUAAAAAUCAGCUGGAAAGACCAAUUCAUUGACCUGCACAAGAACAUCUUCCAUAACCUCCUUCGGGUAAGCAUUAGAUCUGUCAGCCAAUUAAAUAAUUAUACCAGUUUCUUCCAUUGGACCUAAAUUCAAGGAGUUAUAAAUCGAGUAUGGCAUAACAUUAAUUGAGGCCCCUAAAUCUAGCAUACAUCUUUCGAAUCUGGUAUUACCAAUAGUGCAGGGGAUAAUGAAAGUACCGGGAUCCUUGCACUUAGGCGGAAGUUUUCUUUGAAGUACAGCAGAAACAUUCUCUCCAACACUUACCUUUUCGUUACCGCUCAACUUUCGCUUGUUGCUGCAUAAUUCCUUCAAAAACUUUGCAUAACGCGGCACUUGUUUAAUAGCAUCAAGUAGAGGAAUAUUUACCUCUACUUUACGAAAGGUCUCAAGGAUCUCUUUUCUUGCUCCUCUUUCUUGGAUUGUUUAAAUCUGCUAGGAAAUGGUGGAGGAAUGGAGAGAGUCUUAAUUCGAGGUGAGGGGAUACUUACCUUGCCAGAUGGAUCGACUGGCAAUGCCGAGUGGGAAUCAUCUUUCCUUGUUAAAGGAAGAACCUUAGGUGAGGAAUUGGUCACAGAAGGUGAUAAUGUUGUGGAUACUUUUGAUGGCUUAGCUAAUAAUGGUUCCAAUUGCUUUCUGCUCCUGAGAGACAUAGCACUAGCAUUCUCAUUUGGAUUAAUUUCUAGUUGAGAAGGUAACUUUCCUGAAGUUCUACCCUCCAUCCUACUCAUAGAUGUGGCUAGUUGGCCAAUUUGAUUCUCUAAAUGUUGGAGCUGUGUCUGGGUAGUCUGUUGGAAUUGCAUAGAGUUAGUAGCGAGAGCUUUUACAAGAUCCUCCAAAGACAUACCUUGAUUUUGAGGAGGUGGAGGUGGCCGAACUUGGUAAGGCUGUUGCACCCGGUGUUGGGGGUAGCCUGGUGGUCGAGACGGUGCCACAUUAGAAAUGCCUUGUUGUUGGUUCCCAUACCUAAAAUUAGGGUGAUCCUUCCACCCUUCAUUGUAAAAAUUAGAGUAGGGAUCAUACCUUUGUCUUGGUUGGCCUAGGAACCCCUCAACUGCGUUGGCUUGUUCAUGUGAACCCUCUUGGAUAGCAGGGCACAUGUCAGUCGCAUGUCCGACCAUAGAACAUACGCCACACGGUCUCAUUUGUUGCCCUAGAGCUAAUUGUUGCACCAAAGAAGUAAGAUUUGAAACUUGUUUUUCUAGAGAAGUAGUACUUACCUCAUUGACUCGCUUAGGUGGCGGCAGUAGAUCGUUCCUAGUGUUGAACUGUUGGGAAUUAGCAGCCAUGUUAGCAAUGAGAUUUCGGGCUGCUUCUGGUGUCUUAUCCACGAGUGCUCCUCCACUAGCGGCAUCAAUCAUACUCCUAUCCAUAGGUAGUAGACCCUCAUAAAAGUAUUGAAUAAGAAGUUGAUCACUUAUCUGAUGGUAAAGGCAACUAGCACAUAGCUUUUUGAAUCGUUCCCAAUAGUCGUAGAGCGGCUCUCCAUUAUACUGUCGGAUUCUACAAAUUUCUUUUCGAAUGCUACCAGCUUUUGAUGCUGGGAAAUAUUUCUCCAAAAAUAGCUGACGCAUCUCAUUCCAUGUUGUGACAGUAUCGGAGGGAAGAUAGUACAACCAUUCCUUGGCUGAAUCCGCCAAAGAGAAUGGGAAGGCCAUUAGCUUAACUUGCUCUUCAGAAACUCCGGCUGGUUUCAUUGUGGAGCAGACCACAUGGAACUCCUUCAAGUGCUUAUUUGGAUCCUCUCCUGCAAGACCAUGAAAAGUAGGAAGAAGAUGAAUCAUCCCAGAUUUGAGUUCAAAGUUUACCUGAGGGUUUGGAUUCUCAAUGCAUAAGGGUUGCUGGUCCAAGUUAGGAGCUGCCAACUCUUUAAGUGUUCGGUUGUUAUUCUGAGCCAUUGGUUCGGGUUCUGGGCUGCUUGGUUAUGUUUUCGGGAGUGAAAUGUGAAUGGCAAAAUCGAGUUCUGAAUAUGAUGAGGUUGCUCUAAGUUGUUCGAGUUUCAAUCGAAUGUCCUCUAUGCUCAUGAAAAUCUAAAUAUAGAACAAAAAAUAACUAAUUAAAAUAAAAUAAAUAAAUAAAAUGAGAAAAUAAAUAAAAAAUAAAAUAAAAAAUAAAACGAGUGAUAAUAAACAAACUAGACGCUAGUCCCCGGCAACGACGCCAAAAAUUUGGUAGUGUCGUUAAGGUGCACCAAAUUUAAAACUUUAUCACUAAUAUAAAUAAUUAGUACAGAGCGAGUAAGGAUCGAUCCCACAGAGACUAUGCUAGUUAUAUUUAUUAUUAACUCUAAAGCAAGAUUUAAAAUAAAAUAAUAGUAAUAAUAAUAAUAGUAAUAGUAAUAAUAAUAUAAAUUAAUCUAACUAAAGAAAAUGCCAAUUAAAAAUAAAAAGGGGGUUUAUGAAUUUUUAACUAAAUAGUAAGAAAUAAAGAAAUUAAAAUUACGAACAAGAAUUUAAUAAAAACUCUAAUUAAAGGAGAAAGAAAUAAUAAUGAUGAAAACUUUGGUUAAAGGAUCAUUCGCCACCACCAAACAUGCACAUAAUAUAUCAAUUCUAUCAUCAAUUUAUAUUAAAACUAUCAACCUUAGACAACAAUAAGCUCUGUUAGUCUCAAUCUUUCCUUAGUGUGUCGUUAGGCAAAAUAAGCUCUUCACUUAAUCUCUAACCAUUAAAUAAUUUAAAACAAGCUCUUUAAAUUUAAGAUAAUGGAAGCAUUAAACAGAGAAAGAUAUUAGGUUGAUCUAGGCAAUAAACACACAAGCUCGGAUUAUUUAACCUAGGUUAUGUUCUUCAAUUGAAAUCACUAAUUCCAACCUGCUACUAAUAAUUAAAAUAUCAAGACAAUUACGGAUCAAGAAUUUUAAUCUAGCAAUAAAAUUUAUUCAAGUCCUAUCUAAUUGGCCACUCAAAUAAAACAAGAAUAAACCAUGUACAUUAAUUAUAGAAGAACAUAAACAAUCUCAAUUAAAUAAAUUGAAUGAUAGAAUUUAAAUUUAAUUGCAUAGCAUGUUUAGGGUUUUGAAUUCACCCUCAACCAAAUAAAAAUCUAGCCUAACAUGAUUGAAUUGGAAAUAAGAGAAUUGACAAAACCAAUCAUGGAGAUUAAUUCAAGCGGCUGCCUUUUUCUUCAAUUGAAUUCCGGCUGCUGAUUUUUUUCUUCUUCUUGCGGCUGUUGAUUUUCCUCUUGCUGCCGAAUUGGAUCUGCCCUCUUCUUUUUUUCUGUCCAGCGGCUGCAAUCUCCUUUUAUAAUGCUAGUUGACGAAUUCUUCUCCAACAAGAAUAAAGAAAUCCUUUUUCAAUUCUAAUUGAAAUCCUUUUCCAAUUUAACACCACCAAAAGCCAUUAAUUCCAACUUUUGAAAGUCAAUUGCGGGCCCGUUUAAAUGCUUUCUACUUUUGCAAUGCCAUGCACGUGUACUCCAAUUGCCAAUUGGAAAAAAUUAAAUCUUUUAAUUAUUCAACAUUUCUCAAUUAGAUUAAUUAUUUUGAUUUCUUCCACUCGGUUUUAUCAAUUUUUGUCUGUAUUUUUGUCUUCCAAUUUAAUCUUUAUUCCUUCUCAAUUUGAACUUCUUAAUGCCCUUUUUAUUCAUAAUCUCCAAUUGAUUUCCCAUUCAAUAAAAUAAUUUAAUUAAUUAAAAAUAACAAAUAAAAAUAACUAGUAAUUAAAUAAUUAAGGGUAAAAUAUGUAUAAUUUAAAAAUUAACUAAAAUAACUAGAAUAUUUAAGACCAAAACAAGAAAAAGAUGGAGAAAUUAAUAGUAAAAUAUAUGAACAAUAUGCACUUAUCACCAAAAAAGAAAAAAAAAAAGGAAUAUGUUUGAAUAGGAUUAUGAAAUACUUUCUUAAUAAGCUGGACAAGGAGAGAUGAUAUCUUAUGAGCAUUAUAAUUCAUAAUUUGAGGAAAAACCAUUUUAAUGGAGCUUCCAGCCCAACGUACAUACACAAACACAAUCAGUAAGAUUUAACAUAAGAAAUUACCGGGAAAAAGAAACAUCACAAAUCAAUCUGUACAAGUUCAUGUGACACUGCAUGGUAAACAUAUGUAACCUCUCUUGGAAACUUAGCUUGUGACAAGCUCACAUUUUCUGUGUUUUCGUUCAAAAAAGGUUUCAGACACAUUAAUUCCAGGCUGUGGAGGAUCACAUGCCUCGUUGCCCAAAUUUUUAAAGCCACAUACAUUGGUAUUUGCACGCAUGGUCAAUGAGUUACACAACUCUGUCGUCUACUUGAGUUGACCAAGCAAACUGAAUUUGUGAACUUUGACCGACAUAAAUAACCCAAUGCUAACAUGUUUGGAAUUAAAUCAAGAUUGUGAGUCCAAAUGUACUCCCCUACAAACUUGUCACCUGUGCAUCAAGACAAAGUCUUAUAGCACUAAGAAUGGACAUGGGAAUCUCUAAGCAACAACCUCCUAAUAACAUAAAAAUCAAGGUUGGUGUGGGAUAAAGCCAUUCAAAUGGACAUGUAAAGGGUAACUUUGAUGAAUAAGGGUUUAAGAGAAACAAUCUCAUCACAGAGUAUUUCAAUUGGAGCGGAUGAAGAAACUAACAUGAAACAAGCUCACUUAUCUCUAUUUAUUUUUCAAUUUUCACAGAUCCAAAAUCUAAAAUUAUCAUUUUGAGCUACCCUCAAUUAGUAAGCACUGCAUUGUCACUGCUUUCUUCUGAAAUUUUCCAUCAGCAGAAAAUCUCUAACAAAUCAAAACAAGACUUACCAAGUUUCAUAAGUAUCAAAACAAAAACGAGCAAAGGUCCACAGGGAAGUUCUAGAAUGAAAAAUACUAAUGACGUUGUUACAGUGAAUCUCAGGGUCCAUUUUUCGUGAGGUUAAUGGUUGCAUUCUAGGUUGUGUUGCUCUCAUUCUUCAGUGUUCAUUCAUCUUUUUAUGGUAAGUUGCAUGCAUUUGUUUUGUCUUCAGAGGUUAUGGUGGAAUUGUUUGCACCAUCUAUGUCUUUACGUGCACCCCUUGAUUAUACUCGGCGGGAUAAAUUUUGCACUUACUUUUAAAAAAAAUAAAUAAAGAAUCCCCCGUGGGGAAGUCAAAGUGCAAUACGAAUUUAUUAGUGACGAGGACACAGAGAUUUGACAUGAUAAUUAAUCAUCUCGUUAUGAUGUGUUAGUGUCUAAUUCACAAAUUCGUGUAAUAAAUUGCCACCCUUUCGUGUGAGACUAUUGUUAAUUUUAUUGUUCCCUUAAUAAAGUGUAAGGUAGCUUUACAUUGCUUCCAAUCCAAGGCUUAUAGCAUUAGCAUGAUUAACAUAUAUAGUAGCAUCGUAAACAAUGAUUGGAAUCCUGACAUCUUUGGUAGUAUGAUUAUAGAAAAUUGCGACCAUGUUUGGGUAGCUUAGUUUAAAAGUUACUGCAUUGAAAUAUUAAGUAAAUAUUAGCUGUUAUAACUAGAAAAAUUUAUUAUAUCUUUAAUUUUAUACUUAUAUGAUAGAAAAUUUAUUAUUUCUUUAUUGAUUUUGUCAAAAUUAUUAUUUAAAAAUUAGAUAUUUACCACAUACUAAAUCAAGUUAAAUAAUAGGAAAUAAUUAAUUACAAGUUAAUUAAAUUAGAAAUAUGUGUCUAACCAUUAGAACUACGUAUAUCAAGUUAGUUAAUUACCAAGGAAAGAAUUAAUAAUAAAUUUUCAUUAUUUAAUUACGAAACCGAUAACUAUAUAUUAGGAAAACUAUAAUUUUAUGAAAACUGAAGAUCAGUACUAAUAUAAAACUAAAACCAACAAUAAUUAUAUGAUAGGAUAACAACAAAUCUAGUAUAUAUUAAAAAACACGUCGAUUCUGAAGCUGAAUUUAUAAUCCAACCUUAAUUCUAUUUCUUCUGUAUUUACAUAAUCAUCCCGCUAAUUAAGGAUUUUACAACUUUGCCAUGAAAGUUCGGUGGCUUCCAUGCCUUUUUCUUCUCCUCCUCAAAAAUUUUGCUUUUGCUUCCACUUCACCAUUAAAGAAAAUCCCAAAGCUUGGUGUUGUGCGUGGAAGGACUAUUUUUCUAAACCCUAGUAUAAAAAAUAUCAACUUCAGAACCAGAGGGUAAUAUCGAAACUUAUUAUUAUGAUCAAAUACUUGAUCACUUUAACUAUAAUCCAUUAAGUUAUUUAACUUUUCCUCAUAGAUAUGUGUUGAACUUCAAGCAUUGGGGCAGUGGCGGAGCCAAUAUUGGCAUAUCUUGGUGAAGAGAGUAGUCUUGAUGAUGACCUUGGUGGCACUGCAUGGCUUACUGAUAAUGCUCAUCGAUUUAAAGCCUUACAAGUUUACAUAGAGGUACGUAAUUAAAGAAUCUAUUAUCAAGCUUAAUUUAAAAAUUACAGCAUUAAAAUAUCAGGUAAAUAUUAGCUGUUGUAACUAGAAAAAAUUAUUAUAUCUUUGAUUAUGCACUUAUAUGACAGAAAAUUUACUAUUUCUCUACUGAUUUUAUCAAAAUUAUUAUUUACAAAUUAUAUAUUUACCACAUACUAAAUCAAGUUAAUUACUAGCAAAUAAUUAAUUACAAGUUAAUUAAAUUAGAAAUAUGUGUCCAACCAUUAGAACUACGUAUAUCAAGUUAGUUAAUUACUAAGGAAAGAAUUAAUAACAAUUAGGAAAGAAUUAAUAACAAAUUUUCAUUACUACGUAUUUAGUUACGAAAUUGAUAACAAUAUAUUAGAAAAACUAUAAUUUUAUGAAAACUGAAGAUCAAUACUAAUAUAAAACUAAAACCAACAAUAAUUAUAUGAUAGGAUAACAGCAUUAGCACAUAACCUCCAUUGGUGUUGUUGAGCGGCUGGUCGAGCGAGGCUUGGCACCAUCACAUGCUUGUCGCAUCUUGAGAAAAGUCGUGUGACACUAACCUUAUGGUACUUAAUUCUAUGUUGUUAUUGUUUAUUUGAUUACAAGCCUCUAAAUGAUGUUUCAGAAUUGAAGGAUUAUUUAGAGUAUAUGUAUACGGGUGCAACUUUGUAUGAUGAUCCUCAGGAAUAUCCAAUGAACAAAGCUUGUAAUGGUAUUGAUGGAGCUUCAGAAGGCACCGAUACCCUAAGCCGAAUAUUCUCAGGAAUUGUUGCUUUAAGAGGAGAAAGUUAUUGCCAUGAUGUUGAUGAAUUCUUCUCCGAUGAAACAUUGGGAGGCACCGAAAUCUAUGGUCUUUAAAAAUUCUCAUGGCACUCCCAUUAACAUACUAAGUCUGCUUAACCCAUAGGUGAGUGAACCCAUAGGUGAGUGUAAUCUUCUUUUACAUCCAAUUUAAUUAAAAAAUAACAAUUAUCCAAUAGAGAAAUCUUAGAAUUUCCUUUUUUAUCCCAACGAGCUAAAAAAAUUUCUAAUUAAUUACAUAUGAGGGCGAUUGUAAGAUAACUUACCGACCAAAGUCAACUGGAAUGGAAUAGCCAUUGCUUUGACUAACUCUACGGAAAACUACACGUUCGGCUCACCCACGUACGAAGAGAUUUUCUUGAUGGGGACUGUCGAGGGUGUGGGCUCGUUUAUAAUUUCAGCAAAGGAUUUUUUUAUCGGCCUAUUUAAAUUUCGAUUAGGAGUUGAAGUCAAAACUGAUGCAUAUGUCGGGAUGAAAGUGGGCUGAUUUUGAGGUUCGUUUUGAGCCGCUGGAUUAGAGGAAUUAUUGGUUUGGGAUUAGGGAUGGUAAAAUCUGGGUCCGGGUUUGGCCUUUCUGGUUCCGGACUCGGAUGAGAAUUCGUCUUACCGGAUCCGGAUAAAAACUUGAAUUUUUUGAGUGCGGGUCUGAUACGGGUUAAACCCGGAUAAUUUGUUUUGGUACCUAAUUUCUCUCAUUUGCUUUGAAAAACCCUUUAUCAAACUUUUCUUGCUGCAACUUGCAAGGAAUAAAUGAUGAAGUGAUGAAUAUUAAAUAACUAAAGCCAGAUUAUUAUCAACAAGAUCACUCAACCAAAGCUUCUUGAAUUCGCAAUCUUAAAAGGGAAUUUUUUUUUUCAAGAUCCCAUUUAUAGCCUUUAAUUGUUUUGCAAUUGCCUUGUUCGUACUCCCAUCAAAUCACAAUCCAAUACCCUUCCAAUAAUCAGAACCUAAAAUGAAUGAAAUCACAUUCUUGGGCCAACUUCUCGAAAAUAUAGUUGAUGAAACUGCUUGCCCGUGGCCUUGCUGGAGAUUUCAAUAUCGAGGUGGACUUGCUUCAGGAUUGGUCUUCUUCGUCUUGUUCUUCUUUUUCUCGACUGUAUUGCCGUCUUUGGUGAUGACUAUUAAUGAUUUGUUUCGGGCUUUAGUGGUGAGGAUGAGGAAUAAAGCACGAUUCACGAUGAUUUGAUGAGGAAAUAUUUGGCUUUCGGCUUUGGCGGCGCGGCUGUGAAACUGAAACUAGGGCAGAGCUGCUAUUUCUUUUUUCAAUAGUUUCUAUUUAUAUUUAAAAAAAUAUAAAAAUAAAUACACCCGGGUUCGGGUUUCAGAUUUGCUGUUUCACCCAAAUCUGGAUCUGGACCCGAAUAUGUCUGAGUUUAGAAAAUCACAUCUAGAUUCUGGAUUUAAUUUAGUCCGGUGUAGGUUAAAUCCGACCCAGAUUAUUCGGGUUUGGUUGGGUUCGGGUUAAAUUGUCAUCCAUAUUUGGGAUUGAUUUUGGACUUGCAGACUUAUAUUGGAUGAUUGGGCUUUUUGUGGUUUAAUGGAUUGACAUUGGUUUUGGGAUUGAGAAUUUAAGUUGGAUGUAUGGAUAUUAGUGGGAUGGGCUUCCAAGUGCAUUUGGGCUUGUGAGUUAAAUGUUGAAUGGUUAUGGAGGGUGUAGAAACUAAGGUGCUAUUAACAGACUAAGCAACCUUAGAUUCUGCCCUAAGAUCACCAACCAACUAAUCAAGAUGCUGCAAGAUUGAUGACGGAAAAGCUACGACUAAGAUGAAUCUAUGGAACUAGACGAUUAACCAAUUUGGAUUAAAGAAUCAACAUAAGUAGAGCAAUCAAAGAACAAAAGAAACUUAAUGUGGUUCAACUAGAUUUCUCUAGCUUACAUCCACGGGAGGGCAAAGAAUAACUUUAUUGAUUUAACAAGAUGAAUUACAGAGUAAUGCUUUUUUUUUUUACCACAGAAAAGAUCUGAACUGAUUAUAUAUAAACCAGUCCCUUCUCUCUCUUCAGCUCUCUCUGCACACCAAUCUGUUGCUUCCACAUCAGCUGCUCGAUAACAGCUUCAUAACGAACCCAGAAAUUCCCCAGCAACUCACGUGAGUUCCUCAUGCGUUUAACGGCUUUUAACGAACCUUGCAAGCUGGACACAAGCAUGUGAUACAAGCGUGCUUCACUUAGACUUAAACGACAAACUCACAUGUCGUUCAUAAGAGUAUUUCUUUUGCUCUUCAAAACGCAAGACUCCAUGUCGUUGAGCUUAAGUGAUUUCAGCUCUAAACGCAAAGGCUUCUGCCGUUUUGGUUUUCUGGACUUGCUUUCAUAAACAACAGAGGGUUUCAUGAUUACGGUGGGCAUUGCAAGUAUUAGGGGUAGAAAAAUUUUGGGGGGAAGAAAAAUAAGCCGAAAGUUGUGCAUUUGUUGGUGGAAUUGAGGGGUUUGAUUUUGAAUGAGUGGGAGACAAAAGCGGGUCCCCUGCACUAUUUGAAUGUUGGCUUUUUGGUGAUGCCAUAGGAAAAGUGUUAUGAGUAUAUGUGUUUUGUGAGGCUGCAUGUUGAUUUUUGGCUUGAGUGGAGGCAUGUGAGGUAAUUUUGGAAAUCUUUGAUGCAUGUGAAGGCUUUGAAAUGUUGAGCUCAUAGGGGACGACAUUAAUUGAGCACGGCUGACUUUGUGGACUUUGUGAAAGAGAGUUAUGGGCGUGAUUGUGUUUGUGUGUGGUCAAAAGCUGCAAGGGGUUGUCGAGAUUUUCCGAAUUUUUGCAUGUGGGUUGGGCCGAAGCAGGCUGUCUUGGCUGACUUUCGGCAGAUGCCGUUUGUGUACCAAAACGUGUGCGAUCAAGGGGCUGUUCAGAAGCUUCAUCUCGACCAUGAACGGUGGUUGCAAAGUUAACAGCCGAGAGUUGUUUUUUGAGCUUGUACAGGGGCUGUGAUGGCUGGAUCUUGUGAUUCACCAUGUUUAACUUGUUCACGGUUGGAGGUGCAAACUUUGGUAUGCGAUGAGGGGUUUUGGUCACGGCUUUCUUCCACUUCCUCUAGUGGUUGAUUAUAGAGUCCGUUUAAUUAUAUACCUUUUUCUUUUUCUUCUUCUUUUUUUUUUUCGAGAUUAUAGGGUUCUGGAAGAUAUAUCAGACAACAUAAUAACAGUGAUAACAAGAAACGGUAUGUAAAUUUUCUGUAAAAUAAAAAAAAAUUAGUGUUCAAUUAUUAACUAAAUUAUUGGAUAACAUAAUUAAUAGUGUGUAAAUUAGAGCAGGUUCCCAUUGCUUAGACAUACAGCCAGCAACAGAAGAUGAUCCAGAGUGGUUAGUAAUGCAGCGAAAGACUGAAGUGGACAUGGUUCAUGAUUGGGUCCUCAAAUACUCUGCAGAUUUGCUUCAAAAUCAGGGCAUAAGAUUAAAUUGGGACUACAAAAUUAGUCUUUUCUUUUUCUUCCUCUCCACUAUCUUUCUAAUAUUUAUGGAUCAAAGAUAAAUAAUAGUGCACCUGGCUAGUUGUAGAUUUCAUUUUCAUAAUUCUUAAUUUGGGUUGUCUAAAUGUGUAGAACAAGUGUGCAGUAUUACUUAAUGUAAAGCACAUAUAAAGGGCUCAUCAUAUGGUGAAUAUCAAUUCAUAUACAAUCACAUUGGAUUAACCAUUUUUGCCCUUUGAUUUAAGAGUUACUGUAUAGGUCCUUGAAGCCAGGGAGAGAAAAAGAAUUUGCCCUCCAUAUACAUGUAUCUCUCAAAACUUAGGUGUUUAUCCUUAUAUGCUCCGUUUAUUAGUAGCCAAGCUUAUGAGUACAUUGCUCCAGGUGAACCUGUUCCUAUUCUCCUACAUAAUAGCUUCUUCUAUUAAUUAUUUGACAAUCUCAUGCAAUUUCUAUUAAUUAUUUGACAAUCUCAUGCAAUUCCAAAGACUUAGGAUUUUGAGAUUUUGGUGGCUGAUAAAAUAAGCAACCUCUAAUAUGCGGAUGAAAUAAGCUAAUGAUUACAAAAGAAGCUUACUCAGUAUUUGGUAAUUUUGAUUACGAAUUUAUAUAUUAGCGUUUAUAAAAAAAAAGUAAGAUAAAAUUAUUCUUUUCUUAAAAUAUUAAAGUUAUAAUAGAACCUUUAAAAAAUAUGGCAUUUUGUUUAAUAAGUUACUUUAAUAAGUUGCUUAUAAAACAUAAUCUCAUACUUGUUUUAAAAGCUAUUGUCAAAAUGGAGAAAAUAUGAAUUAAACUUUUAACAAAUUUACCAAACAUCAUUUUUAUCAAAACUUAUAAAAUAAGUUGUUUAUAGUAUUUCAAUCAUAAUCCCAAAUAGGACAUUAGUCUUUGUUCAGAAUAAGGUUAGGCAUUGAAUACGUGUACACGCAUAAACUAAAAUAUCUAGACUGAAGAAACAGCUUGACUUAAUAAGUCUACUUCAUUCUUUAUUUUCCACAGCAUGUGUCACGAGUAAGUUCCAAAUAAUUGCUAACUAGGAGAAGAAGUCUUUAAAGUCAAGGUGAUUAGAUUCGCAUGUUACGGAAUUACGUAUCGGAGGGGUUCCCUGCUCUCCACUUAAAAAGAUGCCUUAAAAAGUUAAAUAUUAAAUAAUACGGCAUUUUUAAAUUUAAAAAAUUGUAAAAUAUAUAUAAAAAAUUAAAAAUUAAAAAAAAAAAACUUUUUUUUAAGUGCGUGGAGGUUUGAACGGCAACUACAGGAUCGCUUCACGAUGAACUUCAGAUGUGCAAGACUAAGGCAGGCCUAGCACGAUUUGGGCCAACAUUCGUAAACUCAGGAAGGGGGACGGAAGAGAGAGCAUUUUGGUUUAUAUUUUACUCAUAUACACACGAGUAAUUAUAUACAAACCUUUCAUGCCUUAACUAACUUUUUCACGUGGGACAAAUGUAUUUUCCUUUAAUUUUCCAAUUCCAUGAAUUUAAUUUGAGUAACAAUUUCUCAUUUAUCCAAUUUGAUCAUGUAGAGAAAACCAUUAUGAAGUAUUUAUGGAGGAAUAUUUGAAACAAUUUUAACCUUUCACUUACACUAGGUAGGUCUGACUCAAAAUCACACCUCAAAUAGCCACUUGUGCUAUAUUUCUAACACUUUCUACUUCUUUUCCUUAUUUGAUUGCAUGCAAAAAAAUUGAGUGCAAUGAAAUUUUUAUCUUCUUUCGUCUAUGAUGUUUUGGUGUAAAAAAAAAAAAAAAUUAAAAUGGAUGUUAGGUAGCCCAUGAACUUCCAUAGUUUGUAUGUUACAAAAGGAGUUUUGUAACUAUUUUAAAAAAGAGUAAUGAUAUAGCCACAAUCUUUUAUACAAACUUAUCUUAUACAAACUGAUGUGACAUGAUAAAAUUGGUUAAAUUAAAUAUCUCUUGGCUCACAUGAUUUAUUUUCAUUAUUUUAUAUUUUCAUUCAAUCAAUAAAUUGAUGCCAUAUCAGUUUGUACAAAAUAAAUUUGUACAAGAGUUUAUGGCUGUAUCAUCACUCUAAAAAAUAAAGAGAUUAUUUUGAUUAUUUUGUCAAAUCACAGGAGUCUACACAUUCUUUUCUCUAUGGUUAUUUAUAAUAUUACACCUACACGUUUUUUUUAUACAAAUUAAAUUUAUACAAAGAUAUGGUUAGUUCUUGUUUAUUUUCCCAUGAGUCAUAAUUUACAACAACAAUUCUUUGAGCUUCUUUUUCUUUUUAUUAUUUUGGGUAAUAUUUAAUAUCUUAAUAAUGCUAUUAAUUAUUUCUAAUAUUUUCCAUAUUAUCUCAUGUUUCUGCAAUGUUGUUCAAAUAGAUCUACACCACACAAAUACAAGCCAAUAAGGUUAUAUCUCCAUGAUUGAAUCCAUCUAGAGAAGACCUUGACUCACACUCUUUGAAAACGCGUAUUGGAAAUUAACACCGGGAGGUUGAAAAACAAUUAAUUCUUAUAUAAACGCUUUGCUGAGAAUCAAAUGUAGCUCAAUCAACCGAAAACCAUUAUAAACAUGGCAUCAGCGUCCUCUGUUUCGAGACUGGUGGUCAUUAUAAUUUUAAUUAAUGUUGGUACUAUAAGUGAUACGACGAUAUCUGUAACAGCAUCAGCUGCUGCAGGAUUAUUGUCGUCACCCAUACAGUUAGAAAGGAAAGCUUUACUUGCUACGGGCUGGUGGGUCAACAUUUGGCCGACGGGCAACCACACGUCCGAUCCUUGUAAGUGGACUGGCAUCAGUUGCAAUUCAGCGGGAAGCGUAAUCGGGGUCAACUUACUCUGGUAUGAAAAUGAUAACAUCAACGGAGAGCUUGGUCGUUUCAACUUCUCUUGCUUUCCCAACCUCAAAAGUUUCAAAAUUCAUUCAAAUUAUCUUCUCUCUGGGAGCAUUCCAUCCGAAAUUGCUGCCGUUUCAAUGCUCCAAACUCUUGAACUGCCCUCCAACAAUCUUACCGGUAUGCUACGAAACUUCACUAUAUAUAUGUAUGUAUGUAUGUAUGUAUGAAGUCGUGCUCAUGCUUGAAGCAGGCGUCUGUUUUUACAACACUGAAGAAGUUUUUUUUUAUGAGGAUUUCUUUAUAAAUUUUAUUUGCUAUGAGGAUAGUGAAUACUGAUCUCGUUUUUUAUAAAUCACAUGCGCAACAGGAAUUAUCCCUUCAGAGAUGGGGAGAUUGAGGAAGCUCGUCCACCUGGAUCUAUCUGAUAAUUACCUCUCAGGAUAUAUCCCUCCAACUCUUGGUCGUCUAAGCAAAUUGGAAAAUUUGAACCUGUCUUCUAACGGCCUUGAUGGUAAUAUCUCUCCAACUCUUGGUCGUCUAAGCACAUUUUUGUUGUGUGAAAGUGAAACUGUAUAAUAAAUUUCUACAUCUUUGUUUAUUACUUCGGUAGUGUUUUAAUUUGGAGAAUAUGCUGGUUGGCUUUUUUUCCUUCAAUUUUUGUAUGAAAUGAAUCGGCUUCAAGUGUCAGUUUCUUUUCCAAAUUGCAUCCAUCAAUUGCAAUUGUUACAUUGGGCGAUUACAAGUUGUACGUAAUUAUUAAGGAAGGCACGUUUAAGCAUUUUUGGUUUGUACGUUUUCCUCCUUUUUUUUCCCCUUUGCAUUAAAAAUCAUGGUUAUCCUAUAAAAGAUAUGAUUACAAAUUAAAAGCACUAUUUCUAAUUUCACACAUACACAGUUCCUUAUUAAUUUAUUAAAUUUACUUUUGUAUUUACAGGAUAGGGUAGUCAAUUGAGAGCACUGAGAGUGAUUCUCUCUAAUCUCCAUAAUUUUGUAUUAAUUUAUUGAUAUAUUUGUUGCAUCUGCAGAUUUAACUUUCAGUCUAAAAUAUGCAGCAUUGACGAGCCCCAAAAAAAAAAAAGAAAAAAAAAACUAUUGGAGCACUAAAAAAUCUAUUAAUUUUUACAACCUAAGCAUUUCUUUAUAAAUUUUAUUUCUAUGAGGAUAGUGAAUACUGAUCUCGUUUUUCAUAAAUCACAUGCGCAACAGGAAUUAUCCCUUCAGAGAUGAGGAGAUUGAGGAAUCUCGUCCACCUGGAUCUAUCUUUUAAUUGCCUCUAUGGAUAUAUACCUCCAACUCUUGGUCGUCUAAGCAAAUUGGAAAAUUUGAACCUGUCUUGUAAUGCCCUUGAUGGUAAUAUCCCUCCAACUCUUGGUCGUGUAAGCAAAUUGAAAAAUUUGAACUUGUCUGCUAACUCUCUUGCUGGUAAUAUCCCCCCCACUCUAGGUCAUCUAACCCAUCUAACUACUUUGGCUAUUGCUUGGAACCAAAUUAAUGGUUCCAUCCCAUUAAGAAUCGGGAGUUUGAAGGCUCUUCAAGUUCUUGACUUGUCCAUAAAUGAAAUUGAAGGUUCAAUUCCUUCAACACUUGGCCAUUUAAAGAGAUUGAGAAGUUUAGACUUGUCCGGUAACAAUCUUGUUGGUCCAAUCCUUUCGUCUGUGGGUCAUUUGACUCGGCUAACAACUUUUGAUAUGCACUCAAACCGAAUCAAUGGUUCCAUCCCAUUAGAAAUCGGAAAUUUGAACUUUCUUCAAGUUCUUGACCUCUCCUACAACAAACUUGAAGGUUCAAUUCCUUCGACCAUAGCUAGUUUAGUCAACCUAACAUCUUUGUUCUUGUGCAAUAAUAGUCUAACUGGAUCUAUUCCUUCAACACUUGGUCGUUUAAACAGGUUGACAAGUUUAGACUUGUCCGGUAACAAUCUUUUUGGUCCAAUCCCUUCGUCUGUGGGUCAUUUGACUCAGCUGACAACUUUUGAUAUGCACUCAAACCGAUUCAAUGGUUCCAUCCCAUUAGAAAUCGGAAAUUUGAACUUUCUUCAAGUUCUUGAUAUGUCCCACAACAAACUUGAAGGUUCAAUUCCUUCGACCAUAGCUAGUUUAGUCAACCUAACAUCUUUGUUCUUGUGCAAUAAUAGUCUAACUGGAUCUAUUCCUUCAACACUUGGUCGUUUAAACAGGUUGACAAGUUUAGACUUGUCCGGUAACAAUCUUGUUGGUCCAAUCCCUUCGUCUGUGGGUCAUUUGACUCAGCUAACAACUUUUGAUAUGCACUCAAACCGAUUCAAUGGUUCCAUCCCAUUAGAAAUCGGAAAUUUGAACUUUCUUCAAGUUCUUGAUCUGUCCCACAACAAACUUGAAGGUCCAAUUCCUUCGACCAUAGCUAGUUUAGUCAACUUAACAUCUCUGUUUCUGUGCAAUAACAGUCUAACUGGAUUUAUUCCUUCAACACUUGGUCAUUUAAAUAGGUUGACAAGUUUAGACUUGUCCGGUAACAAUCUUGUUGGUCCAAUCCCUUCGUCUCUGGGUCAUUUGACUCAGCUAAUAACUUUUGAUUUGCACUCAAACCGAAUCAAUGGUUCCAUCCCAUUAGAAAUCGGGAAUUUGAAACAUGUUGAAGAUGUGUACCUAUUCAACAACAAACUUGAUGGUCCAAUUCCUCCACAACUCAUGAAUUGCUCAAAGCUGGGGGAAUUACGUUUGGGAAACAACUUGUUAAGGGGAAGCAUCCCGUUAGAGAUCGGCAAACUUAAAGAACUAUAUUAUCUUGAUCUGAGCCAUAACUCCAUUAAUGGUAAAAUACCUUCCCAGCUUGGAGAAAUUCCACGCAUAGAUACCGUGAACCUUUCCAUGAAUAACCUCUCUGGUAGUAUCCCUGAAUCUGUCAUAAUUGUGCCACACUUAUAUGUGUCAGGCAACAAUUUGGAGGUAGAAAUCCCAAAUACUUCGGCAUAUGCGCCACCGCCACAACAGUCUGAAGGCAAUAAAGACAAGCACAAAAAGAUUGCCACUCGAUUGGUUGCAAUUGUUCUUCCUAUGGUCGCAUUGCUUGCCUUGAUAUUCGGAAUCUUGUUUGUCCAUAGACGAAGGGAUAAGAAAGUUGAACCAGUUGAGACAGGAGAAAUCACCAAGUGCGCUGAUGAGUUUGCAAUUUGGAAUUACGAUGGUAGAAUUACAUUUCAAGACAUGAUUGAAGCUACUGAGGAUUUCCAUAUCAAAUACUGCAUUGGAACCGGGGGCUACGGCAGCGUUUACCGAGCACGACUGCCCAGUGGAAAAGUAGUUGCUUUGAAGAAGCUUCACCGUUCAGAAACUGAGGAGUUAGCUUCCCUCGAGAGUUUCCGGAAUGAGGCUCGUCUACUGUCCCAAAUACGGCAUCGAAAUAUCGUAAAGCUUUACGGGUUUUGUUUGCACAGGAAAUGCAUGUUCUUAAUCUAUGAGUACAUGGAAAUGGGAAGCUUGUUCAUUGUUCUGCGCACAGAUGGGGAAGCUGUGGGGUUGGAUUGGGCUAAAAGGGUGAACGUUGUGAAGGGCAUGGCUCAUGCUUUGUCAUACUUGCAUCAUGACUGCACACCACCAAUUGUUCACCGGGACAUAUCAAGCAACAACGUUCUACUCAACUCAGAAUUGGAAGCAUUUGUUGCCGACUUUGGCGUUGCUAGAUUAUUAAAUUUUGACUCAUCCAAUCGAACUCUAUUGGCUGGCACUUAUGGAUAUAUUGCUCCAGGUAAUCUUCUAGCUAUUCUUCUUGUGCUUCUUUAAUUAUUCUUUUAAUUAAUUUCCAUAUGCACUUUGUUAAGUAAGUUUUAAGCAGUUUUAUUUAGUUAGCUACUUAGGUUCGAAUUUUGGAAUAAGUAAGGUGCUGAAAGAUAAAUUUGAACUUUGCCUACCCGUUUAACUUUUUUUUAAAAAAAAAAAAUUACACAGUUUAAAAAUCAAUUAAAAAAAUAUGUUUCUCUGUCAUACCUUGCUGCAGAAGCUCAAAAAUAUAAACAAAUUGCUCUUGUUAUUGUUUAUGGAAACAUCACUAAUAAAGGCUUCUGUUUUCAUACAGAACUUGCCUACACCAUGGUUGUGACGGAAAAAUGUGAUGUUUAUAGCUUUGGAGUGGUGGCACUAGAAGUACUAAUGGGAAAGCAUCCAGGAGAGCUCCUCUCAUCGUCAUCUUGGUCAUUGGAUAAAAAUAUUAAGCUAAUUGAUUUGCUGGACCCACGCCUCUCACCUCCGGUGGAUCAAAAGAUUAGGCAGGAUAUCAUUCUUGUUUCAACAGUAGCAUUUUCAUGCUUGCGUUCUCAACCAAAGUCUCGACCUACAAUGCAACUCGUGUCCAACGAAUUUAUCGCUCGCAAUAAGGCACCAAUGCAAAAACCUUUUCAUGAAAUUUCAAUUUUGGAGCUUAGAAACCAAGAAAUGUAUUUGGUUGAUUAAUGUGAUAUCUAAUUAUGGAUACGUAUAUUUAACUGUUCAUGUAUGUGAUGGGAUUGCUUCUAAUCCUAAUGGAAUUUUCCAAUAAAGGUGACUGUUAAUUGGUUCUGAUGAAAUUAUUAAGUAGUAGCAAUGUAGCAAAUAUUAUGUGUUCGACGAAUUGUCUCCCUUAGUAUUAUUAAUUCUAUUUACACGUUCACUUCCUAUACAUGUUGAAUUGCAAUUAAACGAAUGUGCAAACUACGACAUUAAUCUCUCUGGUAAAGCUAGUGCUGAUAAAAUAAGGUCUGUCUGAUUGUCUCCCUCUGAAUGAGCUGAAUUAAACAGGAUUUUAAGGAAUUUAAGGUUGUAUCUCUACGAGUUAAAAGGGUAAAUUGUCAUUUUAAUUAUUAGUUUAUUUUACAAAUUAUAUAUAUAAACUUUCUCCAGAGCGAGGUUCUUGAUGUCACGUUACUUAAUAUAUUAGUUUCUUCACUCCUUUGUAAAUAUUCACACAAACAUAUAUAAUAAAUUUUUAAUUUAGCCGAUGCGAUCAAACAUCCUGGACCCACCGCUGAUGUUAGGAAGCUUCUGCACAAGUUGUGGUUAGUGAUGUCCCACCAACUGCCUGCCACCACAAGAUAAACUAAUGUAAGGUCAUGAUCAAGAAAAAUUUGCAUUGAGCCGAAGAGUCCAAUGUCAUAAUCAUGCAUCUAUGAAGUGCAAGAGUAGAGAACAACACACGAUCCCCAUUACAGUAUUGUUGCUUGCACUUAUAGGCUCCAUCAAUCAGUACCUUCAAAUCCAUAUAUAAUGAGAUGGAAGAAGGAACUUAAAUUUAUUAUUGUAAUUUUCAACUUUUAAAAUGAUAAAGUAAGUCGCGGCUGGUUCAUUGAAAUUUAAGACAUUCAAAAUGAAGUGCAAGAGCAAAAUAAAAGUUAAGAGCUUUACCUUCAGCAUAACAAGGAGUCUGCUGUAUCAGGCCGACUUUAUCUGCCUCUAUAGACCACCACCUCUUCAUCAUCAGCCUUCCCAAUAACACUUUCUGCUGUUUCUUCAUUUGAUUCUUCGACCACUACAGCUUCACCUUCAACAUCCUCGGUAGGCUCUGAUGGUGUCAUAAUUGUUGUGCUGGUGGUCAGGGGGACAGCUUCAUUAUUUUUCCUAGAUCCAUUUGUCAAACUUCACGACAGCAGAGUGAAUACCAACUUGACAAACUUCACACCAGAAUUCGAAAUUCUCUCUAAGAGGAAGUUUUCUCUUCAUCGUCUCUCCAGUCGGUAUUCCAUUUGUCAUCUUCUGAGUGUUUGCAUUCAAGUCCUUCUUCUUUAGCAGCUCCUUAUUUUUGUUCUCUGAAUCUUCUUCACUCUCCACUUUCUGGUCUAAACCAACAACAGUUUUAAUAGCUUUAACUGAUUCCUCUUCUACUUUAGCUUUCAUUUUUUGCCCAGCACUUUCUGGUCUUAACCCACUUUCUGGUCUACUUGUCUUUCCAGAAUCUUUUGAUGUCGAUGAAGAUGAGGUAGUGCACAUCUUCUGAGCUCCAAUUAGGUCCGCUUCCUCCGCCUUGUGCUUCUCACCUUGAAGAUGCUCAUCUUGACCGCCCUCCACUUUCUGGUCUAAAUCAACGAUAUUUUUAUUCGGUGUAACUGAUUCCUCUUCUAGAGUAGCCUUAAUUUCCUGGCCAGCACUAUCUCUGCUUUCAGUAGAGUUUUUUGAAGUGGAGUUACUGCACAUCUUCUCAUCUCCAAGUAGUCCUUCUUCCUGGCCUUGUGCUUCUUGCCGUGAAGAUGCUCAUCUAGAUCUCUUGUUAGAGUGCAAUUUAUGCACUAAUUUUGCAUUGUUUACUUCUCUUAAUAUCGAUGUUUUGCACUAAAUAAUAAUGAUUUACUUGUGUUUUACUUUUGUAGGUGCAAUUCUAUUGAUUUGUGAUAAAAUUGAGCUAUAAGAUGAUGUUUAAAGAUGAUUGUUCUCUUGGAGAAAUUAUGAGCGGCAGAAGAACUUUGUUGAUAAGGCGUGGGCGCGUGCUGUCAACUACGGACCUGCAGUUUUUAGUUUAACGUGUUUUGUAUUUUUGGUUAUUUUUGUAAUUACGAAUUUAAUAUUUCAAAUAUUAGUAUUUUAUUUUAAAUAGAAUUCUAGAGAAGAAGAGAGAGAGAGUAUUUAAGGGAGGAAUCUAUUGUGAAAAAGGCAGAUUUGGAUUGGAGAAAAAGAAAGAAACCCUAGAUCUUAAUUUUUCUCUUCUCUCUAUGAAGAACUAAACCUAUUUUUUUGGUUGAAGGAUAAUGAAGCUUUGAUUCAUCACUACUGUGAGAUCUUUCUUGUGCUUUAAUUGUUUUAUUGCUUUUUGGGUAUUUAUUUAUUCUCUGAAUUAUUUUCAUGAUUAUGUUUGUUAAUUAGGUAAUUGGCCACUAUUUAAUUAUCAACUUAAUUUAUUGUCAAUUAAAGGAUUCAUCGUAUGAAGAAUUUAAUGUUUGUGACAAAUAACAUAGCAGAGAGUUGUGUUGUGAGAAUAAACAAUCUAAUUUAAAUGAAUCAUCAUAUGUGUUGAUUAGGAUUUGGGUCUCUCUGAUUUUUCAGGCUGUCAAUUGAUUAAAUCCUAUGAUCGUAUCUAGGGUUGUCUAUUGAUUAGGGAAAUAACCAACGGUCGUACCUUGGUUAUCGACUAGUUAAGGAGAGAUUUGCUAUUAGAGGGUCUCAGUAGCUAUAACCGGUCUAUUCAUAAGUAAUAAUAAUCUAUAUUUGAAUCAAUGAUCAGUAGUCGAAUCAAGCUGAGUUAAUUCCUUCAACCAGAGCUUUCUCCAAUUUGAAUCACAACUUUAAUUUACAUUCUCGUUAUUUUAAUUUGAUUUUUAUUAUUGUCAACAAUUCUCCCAUUUUACGUUUUAUGUUUCAAAAGGAUUUAAAUAAUUACCGAUCUCUGUGGACACGACCUUGCUCAAUCACUAUACACAAUUUAUUUAGAGUAGGAAUUUAUUUUUGUUGGCUUCGACACCCAUCAAAUUUUGGCGCCGUUGCCGGGGAUUGGUGUCAUUUAUUUAAUUAUUUUUACGUUUUACUUGGUGUAUGGUUCGUUCUUCUCGUACAGGUACACUUUCGUUUGAUCCUGAAAUUGAGAAGACAGCUCGCCAGCUGAGACAGCAGACAAAGCGAGCUAAGCAACGAUCCUCGUCGCCUUUGCUUUCUGAAACAGAUACGGUGCCUGAUUUAGUUGAAUCAUCUAGCGAUUCAGAAGAACAAGUGAUGGAUAGAGCUGCACCUGUAGAAAGAACUCUUAGAGAGUUAGCUGAACCAGACUUGAAUCAACAACCACUCUGCAUUCAAUAUGUAGACUUGGAGGUAAAUUUUGAAUUAAAGUCUGGUCUUAUUCAUUUAUUACCCAAGUUUCAUGGUUUUGCAGGUGAAGAUCCUCAUAAACAUCUUAAGGAGUUUCAUGUUGUGUGUUCAAGUAUGAGACCACAAGGCGUGACUGAAAAGCAGAUUAAGCUGCGUGCUUUUCCGUUCUCUGUAGAUGGGCUAGCUAAAGACUGGUUGUAUUACUUGCCUCCUGGAUCGAUUACAACGUGGAAUGAUUUGAAGAAGCAGUUCCUCGAGAAGUACUUUCCUGCUUCAAGAGCUGCCAACAUAAAAAAAGACAUUUGUGGGAUUAGACAACUUCCUGGGGAGACUUUGUAUGAGUAUUGGGAGCGAUUCAAACAAUUGUGUGCCAGCUGUCCUCAGCAUCAGAUUUCUGAUCAACUUCUUAUUCAAUAUUUUUACGAAGGACUAUCAUUGAUGGAUAGAAGUAUGAUAGAUGUUGCUAGUGGAGGCGUGUUGGUGAACAAGACUCCUACUCAAGCAAGGGAGUUGAUAUCAAAUAUGGCUGCCAACGCACAACAAUUUGGCAGCAGGCAAGAUCCCACUUCAAGGAAGGUGAAUGAGGUAAAUAUUUCUUCUGUUGAACAACGUUUAGAUAAACUCACUUCUCUUGUGGAAAAGUUUGUUGUAGGUAAUGUGCAACAGGUGAAGACUUGUGGUAUUUGUUACAAUAUGGGUCAUUCAACUGAUAUGUGUCCUACACUUCAAGAAGAACCCGUUGAACAAGCCAAUGCAGUUGGAGGAUUUCCAGGCAUGCCUCAGAGGAGGUAUGAUCCUUAUGCACAAACAUACAAUCCGGGAUGGAAAGAUCAUCCCAACUUCAGCUAUGGAGUUAGGCCGUCAGGAUUCCCACAACAGUAUCCACCAAGACAACCAGCACCUCCACAGUCAACCUCCAAGUCAGGUAUAUCUCUUGAAGAAAUUGUUAAAUCGCUUGCGACUAACACUCAACAAUUUCAGCAGGCAACUACAACAAGCAUUCAGAACUUGGAGAACCAAAUGAGUCAAUUGGCGACUACAGUGAGCCGUCUAGAGUCUCAAGUAUUAGGGAGAUUGCCUUCACAAUCUGAGGUGAAUCCAAAGCAAAACGUUAGUGCUGUCAUCCUUAGAAGUGGGAAGGAGUUGCAAGAGCCUAGUAAGAAAGUGACAGAGCAUGUAGAAGAUGAGCUUGAGAAGAAUGAAUUGAUGCCUCAAUCUCAAGAUGCACAACCCACCAGAGCGAAACCCCUACCUAUUGUGAUACCUCCUCCUUUUCCAAGCCGGUUUGCAAAAUCCAAGAAGGAGGAACAAGAUAAAGACAUCAUUGAGACAUGUCGCAAGGUUGAGGUAAAUAUCCCUUUAUUAGAUGCUAUAAAAUAAAUACCUCGAUAUGCUAAAGUCCUUAAGGAACUAUGCACCUCUAAGAGAAAAUUAAGAGGAGAUGAAAAAGUUCAUAUGGGGGAGAAUGUUUCAGCAGUUCUCCAAAAGAAACUACCUCCUAAGUGCAAGGAUCCAGGUAUGUUUACUAUCCCUUGCAAAAUUGGUAAUGUCAAAGUUGAAAAGGCUAUGUUAGAUCUAGGAGCUUCUAUUAAUGUCAUGCCUCGUUCCAUUUAUUCAUCUUUGAAUGUUGGUCCAUUAAAAGAAACUGACGUGAUAAUUCAACUAGCCGAUAUGUCUAAUGCAUAUCCUGAUGGGGUAUUAGAAGAUGUCCUAGUACAAGUUAAUGAGUUGGUUUUUCCUACUGAUUUUUAUGUACUUGAUAUGGAAGAGGAUAACUUCUCUAAUUCUGUCCCAAUUUUGCUAGGAAGACCUUUUCUUAAGACUGCUAGGACUAAAAUGGAUGUACAUAAAGGGACUCUCACUAUGGAAUUUGAUGGAGAGGUUAUAGAAUUCAAUAUGAAUGAUGCCAUGAAAUAUCCUAGUGAGGAACAUUCGGUAUUUUCUGUGGAUGUUAUUAACCCUAUACCGCAGGAAGUUUUUUUCAAGGAAAAGACGAAGACAUUUCAUGAUAGAAUGAUUUUGAGAAAGGAGUUCUCUGUUGGUCAAAAAGUUCUUCUUUUUCAUUCUAAGCUUAAACUUUUUCCAAGUAAAUUACGUUCUUGCUGGGUUGGACCUUUUAUUGUUACUAAUGUUUUUCCUCAUGGUGCAGUUGAGAUUCGGAGUCCGACCUCUGACAAAGUUUUUGAAGUUAACGGUCAUCGUUUAAAACCUUUUUAUGAAGGUUUUUUGGUGAAUAUUGUGGAGGAAAUGGCUCUCGAGGGUCCUAUUUAUGGAGAUUGAUGCAUAAAUGUGUCUAGCCAAAGACAUAAAACAAAGACGCUUUUUGGGAGGCAACCCAAAUGAUUUGUUUAUUUUGGUUUUUGUUUUAUCGUCUUUUAGUUUUGAUUCAAAUUUAAAAAAAAAAAAAAAUUUUUGUGUUUGCUUAUUUUGGUCAGAAGUAAAAUAGUUUUAAGACGUGCCCACGUGCUUAUUAAAAAAGUACUUCUGAAAUUUUUGGUGUCUCAAAGUGAUUCAUCACUAAAAAAAUAAAAAAAUUAAUAAUUUACUGUUCACAAAAUUCCUAAUUUUCCAGAUCUUGUUUUCUUCUCCAGCCGCUUGCAGCACACCAGCAGCAAACCAGCCUGCCGGAAAACGCACCACCCCGCGCGCGCAGCACCAGCAUCCCGUGUCUCGCAAGUCCAACCAGCGCACAACGCAAGCCCCAGCAGCGCGCAACGUAAGCCCCAGCUGCGCGCGCAGCGCGAACCAGCCCCAGCCCGAGCACGCAACCCAACAAGCGUCACCAGCGCAGCACCAGCAAUCCCCCAGUGCACAGCAACAGCCGCAGUACGCAGAUCCAGCAUCACCAGUUCGCAGCAUCAGUCCCAGCCCGCACGCGCAACACAACCAGCACCAACCCGCGCAGCACAACCAUCCGCGCGCAACUGAACCAACAGCCGUGUACCCGCAAGCUCCAGUCGAGCAGCAAUAGUCCGCAACCAGCCUACGACCUGCAUUCCAGCCGCGUGAAUCGAAAUCCGUGACAAGAUGGAGCAGAAUUUGGCCGCAUACUUCAAGAGUGUGGGAUUUAUCCCACCAUUCCCGCCAAGCCCAUAGACGUUAUGAGGAUCAAAGUUCACAAUUCAGGGAAGUUUUUGCCUUUAAUCUUUUAUCCUUACGCUUUAAUUUUUAUGUGAGCUUUAAUUAUCUUACAUUGGGGACAAUGUAAGUUCUUGGUGUGGGGGAGGGAUUUUUGCAUUAUUGAUGUCUGGAAUUAUUAUUUUCACUCUACUCAUCCUUAAAUGAUUUUGGAGUUAGUAUGCUUCAUAUAUUAUUAUUUUUCUUUUCUUUUCUUUCUCAUCACUCACAUUUUAUCUUUCACUUUUCAUAUUACUACAUACAUCUUUCUCACUUCUUAUCAUUUUUACCUUUUCUUCACUCAUACCUUCUUCUCAUUCUACACCACUAUUGAUGGUUGAUUCAUUUGAAGAGUGUACAUGAUUUGAUGGCAAAUUUACCAACUUUGUGAGGAUUUGAGCCUAUGAGCAACCACUUUGCUCUAAUUAUUUUUAUUAUGUGAAUAUCAAUCUUAGUUUGUUUAUUCUAGAACUUGCUUUGUUAUGCAUGUUGAAGCCACAUUACGGAAUUUUUUGCAUUAAAAUGAUAAGGGUAAACCAUUUACCAUUUUUCUAUUCUCGCAUUUUUUUUUUCUCUACCUGAAGACCUUGAUUUACUAUCUUUGUUUGAGCUUUAACCAUUACCCAUCUAAUUCUCUCCAUCUACUUAACCAUUUUUCUUCUUUUUGAGCCUCAAUUUUAAGGAGAUUUUUGGACUCAUUGUGUUGAUAUAUUUUGUUGCUUUUUCUACCUUGUAUUAAAGUUUCUCAAUUAGAUCAACAAGCAUUAUGCUUGAAUUAAAUUGUGCAAGGUUCGUUUCUUUUGUUUGAUUAAAAAAAAAAACAACAACAAAAAGAAAAAAAAAAAGAAAAAGAAAAAUCGAAAAAAAAGAAAAAAAAAAAGAGAAAAAGAAAAAUCGAAAAAAAAGAAAAAAAGAAAAAUCGAAAAAAAAGAAAAAAAAAGAAAAAAAAAAGUUUACAUUCUUGGUGACUUGAGUAGAAAUAAGCAUUUUGAUAUUAUAAAUUCAUUCAAUGAGUUCAUUCUUCUCAUUUUGAUCUCUUUUUCUCUUUCAUAGACCUUUCUUUUUCAUUUAACCUAUUUAACCCCAUUACAACCCUUUUAAGACCCUUAGAUUUUUGCAUUUUCUUCAUGUUUUGUGGAUUGAGAUGUGAUAUAUGAGCAAGCUUAUGGUAAUAGCAUUCUUUGAUUUGAUUUGAGUGAAUACAUGACACCCUAAACACUUUGAGUGCAUAGAGUGAAGUUAUUGAGACUAUUAAAUUUUGUUGCACUUGAAUUUUGAAUGGAUCUUCUUGGUGGUUGAAUGUUCUUAUUCUAUCUUAUGAAAUUCUUUGCUCUAAAAUCCUUGUCUCUCGAAUGUUGAUCGACUUAAUUUCUUGAUGUAUGCUUGCUUAAAAUUAUUUUUGGAUGAGUUGAGAUGAAAAUUGAGUGGAGAUUUGGGAUUAGUCUUGAGUUAUAUGCUUGAGGACAAGCAUCAUCUUGGUGUGGGGGAUUUUGUUAGAGUGCAAUUUAUGCACUAAUUUUGCAUUGUUUACUUCUUUUAAUAUCGAUGUUUUGCACUUAAUAAUAAUGAUUUACUUGUGUUUUACUUUUGUAGGUGCAAUUCUAUUGAUUUGUGAUAAAAUUGAGCUAUAAGAUGAUGUUUAAAGAUGAUUGUUCUCUUGGAGAAAUUAUGAGCGGCAGAAGAACUUUGUUGAUAAGGCGUGGGCGCGUGCUGUCAACUACGGACCUGCAGUUUUUAGUUUAACGUGUUUUGUAUUUUUGGUUAUUUUUGUAAUUACGAAUUUAAUAUUUCAAAUAUUAGUAUUUUAUUUUAAAUAGAAUUCUAGAGAAGAAGAGAGAGAUAGUAUUUAAGGGAGGAAUCUAUUGUGAAAAAGGCAGAUUUGGAUUGGAGAAAAAGAAAGAAACCCUAGAUCUUAAUUUUUCUCUUCUCUCUAUGAAGAACUAAACCUAUUUUUUUGGUUGAAGGAUAAUGAAGCUUUGAUUCAUCACUACUGUGAGAUCUUUCUUGUGCUUAAUUGUUUUAUUGCUUUUUGGGUAUUUGUUUAUUCUCUGAAUUAUUUUCAUGAUUAUGUUUGUUAAUUAGGUAAUUGGCCACUAUUUAAUUAUAAACUUAAUCUAUUGUCAAUUAAAGGAUUCAUCGUAUGAAGAAUUUAAUGUUUGUGACAAAUAACAUAGCAGAGAGUUGUGUUGUGAGAAUAAACAAUCUAAUUUAAAUGAAUCAUCAUAUGUGUUGAUUAGGAUUUGGGUCUCUCUGGUUUUUCAGGCUGUCAAUUGAUUAAAUCCUAUGAUCGUAUCUAGGGUUGUCUAUUGAUUAGGGAAAUAACUAACGGUUGUACCUUGGUUAUCGACUAGUUAAGGAGAGAUUGGCUAUUAGAGGGUCUCAGUAGCUAUAACCGGUCUAUUCAUAAGUAAUAAUAAUCUAUAUUUGAAUCAAUGAUCAGUAGUUGAAUCAAGCUGAGUUAAUUCCUUCAACCAGAGCUUUUUCCAAUUUGAAUCACAACUUUAAUUUACAUUCUCGUUAUUUUAAUUUGAUUUUUAUUAUUGUCAACAAUUCCCCCAUUUUACGUUUUACGUUUCAAAAGGAUUUAAAUAAUUACCGAUCUCUGUGGACACGACCCUGCUCAAUCACUAUACACAAUUUAUUUAGAGUAGGAAUUUAUUUUUGUUGGCUUCGACACCCAUCAUCUCUCUUGCUAGUGGUACUGACCUGACAGAGGCAACAACUCCAAUCCAUGGGUUUCUUUGAACUCGUCAACAGGAGCUAUCCAGAACCUGCUGGUAGUGUGGCAGCUUCCUGCUUUGAUCCACAAAGAUUGGGAUAGGGCUUAACCUGCUGGGCUUGACAACCCUCCUCUUUCUGGUCUAAACCAACAACAGUUCUAUUAGCUUUAACUUAUUCCUCUGCUGCUUUAUUCUUCAUUUCUUGGCCAGCACUAUCUCUGCUUUCUGUAGAUUUUUUUAUCCACUUCUGAGCUCCAAGUAGUUCUUCGUCCUUGGCCUUCUGCUUCUUACCUUGAGGAUGCUUAUCUACACCAACCUCCCCUUUCUGGUCUAGGCCAAUAACAGUUUUUUAGCUUUAACUGAUUCCUCUUGUACUUUAGUGUUCAUUUCUUGGCCAACACCAUCUCUGCUUUCAGUAUAUUUUUCUGACGUGGAUGAAGUGGAGUUACUGCACAUUUUCUUAUCUCUAAGUAGUCCUGAAACCUUGGCCUUAUGCUUCCUACCUUGAAGAUGCUCAUCUAGACCUCUCUUGGUAGUAGCACUGACCCGACAGAGGGCACAACUCCACUCCUUGGGUUUGUUAGAAUUCGUCGAAGGAAGCUCUCCAAAACCUGCAGGUGGUGCGGUAGCUUUCUGAUUUGAUCGACAAAGAUUGGAAUUGGGCUUAACCUGCAGGGUUUGACCUUCCUCCACUUUCUGGUCUAAACCAACAACAGUUUUAUUACCUUUAAGUGAUUCCUUUUCUACAUUAGACUUCAUUUCUUGGUCAGUACUAUCUCUGCUUUCCGUAUAUUUUUUUGAAGUGGAGUUAAUGCACAUCUUCAAAUCUCUAAGUAGUUUUUCCUUGGCCUUGUGCUUCUUACCUUGGAGAUGCAGGUCUAGAUCUCUCUCGGUAGUAGCAUUGACCUGACAGAGGGCACAACUCUACUCCUUGGGUUUGUUUGAACCCGCUGAAGGAAGCUCUCCAGUACCUGCAAGUGGAGUGGCAGCUUUCUACUUUGAUCCACAGGUAUUGGAAUCAGGCUGAGGCUGGAAAUGAUACAGAAACCAUUAUGCCUUAUAUUAGUUAUCACAUCAAUGGUAAAAAUGAAAAAAAUUCCCAGUGAGCUCCAUCAUUUGCUAUUGUAGUACAGAUGAAAGAAUUUGUUUACAAAAUCGUUAAUACAACCAGAAUCCUUGUUAAUUAACAACAUUUCCAGCACUGAACUAGGAAAAUCUUUCCUUCCAAAAAACAGAAAAAAAAGGAUUAUGUUUGAAUAGGAUUCUGAAAGACUUUCUUAAUAAUCUGGACUAGAAGAGAUGACAUUAACACUUACGAGCAUUAUAAUUCAUAAUUUGAGGAAACACCAUUUCAAUGGAGCCUCCAGCCCAACGCACAUACACAAAGACAAGCAAUAAAAUUUAAAAUAAGAAAUUACCAGGAAAAAGAAACAUCAGAAAUCAAUCUGUACAAGUUCAUAUGACACUUCAUGGUAAACAUAUGUAACCUCUCUUGGAACCUUAGCUUGCGAGAAGCCACAUUUGCUCCGGGUUUUCGUUCAAAAAAGGUUUCAGACACACAUUGAUUCCAGGCUGUGGGGGAUCAUAUGUCCUCACAGCCAAAUUUUAAAGCCACAUACAUUGGCAUUUGCACGCAUAGUCAAGAGUUGCGCAACUCUCUCGUCUACUUGAGUUGACCACGCAAACUGAACUUGCGAACUUUGACCAACAUAAAUAACCAAAUGCUAUGAUGUUUGGAACUAAAUCAAGAUAGUGAGUCCAAAUGUACUCCCCAACAAACUUGUCACCUGGGCAUCAAGACCAAGUCUUUUGGCACUAAGAGUGGACAUGGGAAUCUCUAAGCAACGACCUCCUAAUAACAUACAAAUCCAGGUUACUGAUAAUGCUCAUCGAUUUAAAGGCUUACAAGUUUACAAAGAAGUAAGUAAAGAAUUUGAUAAUAAUUGAAACAGAGUUCGAACGGAUCAAUAAUAAUAAAGAUAAAUUUAAUCUAUAAUAUCAACUAAAAAGUUGUGAUAUAUAUAUUUUUUUCUAAUUUGAUUUUUUGUGCAGCAUCAGUUCUGUGGAAAAUCGGUGCCUUUUGUAUCAAGUAAAGAUGCCCUACAGAAUGCAACUCUUCGUGGAUAUUUCAACUCUGCUCAAGCCUUUGGCUGAUUAUGCGGAGAUUCUCUUACACAUCAAGAAAAAUUUAUCGGCCGAAAUGUCUCCCAUUAUCGUUGUCGGAGCAUCUUAUGGAGGAUCUUUUGAUUGACAUCAUGUCAUCUGUCACCUUAUUUUAAAUAUUUGACUAAAAUCUGGAUUACGCCUCAAUUAUUAUGAUACAAUUUUAUUUUAUAUUCCUACUAACAGAUACUCUUUGAGAGUUACUCGUGUGGGUUUGUUAUUGUUAUCAUCAGUGCUCGCUGCAUGGUUUCGCUUGAAGUAUCCUCAUAUUGCUUUAGGAGCAGUUGCCUCUUCAGCCCCAAUUCUCUACUUUGAUAAUAUCACACCAUCGAACGCAUAUUAUGAUCUUGUCAGCAAGGAUUUUAGGGUAAGAAAAUAAUAUUAAUUAAUUAAAAUUCUAUAUAUGUAUGAUUAUAUUUUCUUGUUAAAAUUUGACUAUUGAAUUUUGAAUACUAAUGAUGCAGGAAGCUAGUGAGAGUUGCUACAAGACCAUCAAACAGUCCUGGGCUGAAAUCGAUGAAGCCGCUGCUGGAAAAAAAUGGACUUACUGUUCUCUCUUAAAAGUUCAAAACCUGCAAGUAAUUGAAUCAUAUUACUUUUAUAACUGCCGAUAUAUAUCCAUCUGAUUUUCCUUUAAUUACAGUGCAAUGUUAUUGUAGUAUCAUUACAUAACUGUCUAUAUAUAUCCAAUUAAUGAUCUGUCAUCCUCAAGGUAUAUUUACAUUUCAGUUAAUGUGUAAUAUACGUACAUAGUAAAAUCUGGCAUUUUAUUUAAUAAGUUGCUUAUAAAAAACAAUCUCAUACUUAUUUUAAGAGUUAUUGUCAAAAUGGAGAAAAUAUGAAUUAAACUUUUAACAAAUUUAUCAAACAUCAUUUUUAUCAAAACUUAUAAAAUAAACUACUUAUAGUAUUUCAACCAUAAUUCCAAAUAGGACAUUAGGCUUUGUGCAGAAUAAAGUUAGGCAUUGAAUAUUUGUACACGUAUAAACUAAAUAUCUAGAUUCUAGACUGAAGAAACAACUUGACUUUCAUUCUUUGUUUUCCACAGCAUAUGUCAAGACGUAAGUUCCAAAUAAUUGCUGACUAGGGGAAGCAGUCUUUAAAGUCAAGGUGAUUAGAUUAGCAUGUUUCGGCAUUACGUAUCGGAGGGGUUCCCUGCCCUCAAUGUAAAAAGAUGCCUUAAAAUUAAAUAUUUAAAUAAUAUGGUUGAUGGUUGUCGAAGCCAACAAAAAUAAAUUCCUACUCUAAAUAAAUUGUGUAUAGUGAUUGAGCAGGGUCGUGUCCACAGAGAUCGGUAAUUAUUUAAAUCCUUUUGAAACGUAAAACGUAAAAUGGGGGAAUUGUUGACAAUAAUAAAAAUCAAAUUAAAAUAACAAGAAUGUAAAUUAAAGUUGCAAUUCAAAUUAGAGAAAGCUCUGGUUGAAGGAAUUAACUCAGCUUGAUUCGACUACUGAUCAUUGAUUCAAAUAUAGAUUAUUAUUACUUAUGAAUAGACCAGUUAUAGCUACUGAGAUCCUCUAAUAGCCAAUCUCUCAUUAACUAGUCGAUAACCAAGGUACGACCGUUGGUUAUUUCCCUAAUCAAUAGACAACCCUAGAUACGAUCGUAGGAUUUAAUCAAUUGACAGCCUGAAAAACCAGAGAGACCCAAAUCCUAAUCAACACAUACGAUGAUUCAUUUAAAUUAGAUUGUUUAUUCUCACAACACAACUCUCUGCUAUGUUAUUUGUCACAAACAUUAAAUUCUUCAUACGAUGAAUCCUUUAAUUGACAAUAGAUUAAGUUGAUAAAUAAAUAGUGGCCAAUUACCUAAUUAACAAACAUAAUCAUGAAAAUAAUUCAGAGAAUAAACAAAUACCCAAAAAGUAAUAAAACAAUUAAAGCAUAAGAAAGAUCUCACAGUAGUGAUGAAUCAAAGCUUCAUUAUCCUUCAACCAGAAAAAUAGGUUUAGUUCUUCAUAGAGAGAAGAGAAAAGUUUAGAUCUAGGGUUUCUUUGUUUUUCUCCAAUCCCCCUUUUUCACAAUAGAUUCCUCUCUUAAAUACUCUCUCUCUCUUCUCCUCUAGAAUUCUAUUUAAAAUAAAAUACUAAUAUCUGAAAUAUUAAAUUCGUAAUUAUAAAAAUAACCAAAAAUACAAAACACGUUAAACUAAAAACUGCAGGUUCGUAGUUGACAGCACGCGCCCACGCCUUAUCAACAAAGUUCUUCUGACGCUCAUAAUUUCUCCAAGAAAACAAUCACCCUUAAAUAUCAUCUUGUAACUCAAUUUUAUCACCAAUCAAUAUAAUUGCACCUACAAAAGUAAAACACAAGUAAAUCAUUAUUAUUAAGUGCAAAACAUCGAUAUUAAGGGAAGUAAACAAUACAAAACUAGUGCAUAAAUUGCACUCUAACAAUGGCAUUCAUUAAAUUUAAAAAUAUGAAAAAUAUAUAAAAUACAUAAAUAAUAUAUAAAAAAAAAACUUUUUUUAAAGUGCGCAGAGGUUUGAACGGCAACUAUAGGAUCGUAUCACAUUGAAUUCGUGUACUUAGGACGGGGCACGGAAGAGAGAGCAUUUUGGUUUAUAUUUUACUCAUAUACACGAGUAAUUAUGUACAAACCUUUCAUGCCUUUGCUAUCUUUUUCAUGUGGGACAAAUAUAUUUUCCUUUACUUUUCUAAUUCCAUGAAUUUACUUUGAGUAACAAUUUCUCAUUUAUCUAAGGGUUAUUUUGAUUAUAUAAAUAAAAUCAUUCUGAAGUAUUUAUGGAGGAACAUCUGAAACAACAGAUAAGUCUCACUCCAAAUCACGCAUCAAAUAGUAACUUGUGCUAUAUUUCCAACACUUUUUGCUUCUUUUCCUUGUUUGAUUGCAUGAAAAAAAUUGAGUGCAAUGAAACUUUUAUCUUCUUUUGUCUUUGAUGUUUUGGUGUAAAAAAAAUAAAAUUAAGUGGGAUAUUAGGUAGCCCAUGAAUUUCCAUAUAGUUUGCAUGUUGCAAAAGGAGUUUUGUAACUAUUUUAAAAAAUAAAGAGAUUAUUUUUAUUAUUUUGUCAAAUCACAGAAGUCUACACAUUCUUUUCUCCACCAGCUUAUUUAUAAUAAUACACCUACAAGUUUUUUUUAUACUUAAAUUUAUACAAAGAUAUGAUUAGUCUUGUUUAUUUUUCUAUUUGAGUCAUAUUUUACAACAACAAUCCUUCGAGCUUUUUUUUUCUUUAUUAUUUUGGGUAAUAUUUAAUAUCUUAAUAGCGCUAUUAAUUAUUUCUAAUAUUGUCCAUAUUAUCUCAUGUUUCUGCAAAGUUGUUCAAAUAGAUCUACACCUCACAAAUACAGGCCGAUAAGGUUAUAUCUCCAUGAUUGAAUCCAUCCAGAGAAAGACAUUGACUCACACUAUUUGAAAACGCGUAUUGGAAGUUAACACUGGGAGGUUGCAAAACAAUUAAUUCUUAUAUAAAUGCUUUGCUGAGAAUCAAACAGCUCAAUCAACCGAAAACCAUUAUAAACAUGGCAGCAGCAUCCACUGUUUCGAGAUUGGUGGUCAUUUUAAUUUUAAUAAAUGUUGGUGCUAUAAGUGAUACGACAAUAUCUGUAACGGCAUCAGCUGCAGGAUUAUUGUCGUCACCCAUACUGUUAGAAAGGGAAGCUUUACUUGCUACCGGCUGGUGGGUCAACAAUUGGGCGACGUCGGGCAACUAAACGUCCGAUCAUUGUAAGUGGACUGGCGUCAGUUGCAAUUCAGCGGGAAGCGUAAUCGGGGUCAGCUUACUCUGGUAUGAAAAUGAUAACAUCAACGGAGAGCUCGGUCGUUUCAAAUUCUCUUGCUUUCCCAAUCUCAGAAGUUUCAAAAUUCGUUCAAAUUAUCUUCUCUCUGGGAGCAUUCCAUCUGAAAUUACUGCUCUUUCAACAAUCCGAACUCUUGAACUGACCUCCAACGGCCUUACCGGUAAGCUGUGAAACUUCACCAUAUAUAUAUAUAUGUAUGUAUAAAAUCGCGCUGCUGCUUAAAGCUGGCGUCUGUUUUUACAACACUGAAGAAGUGUGAGUCGUCCGCACUUGAGCUUGACUCUCCCUCUAUGUAAUUUUUUUUAAAGAAGAUAGUGAAUACUGAUCUCGUUUUUCAUAAAUCACAUGCACAACAGGAAUUAUCCCUUUAGAGAUGGGGCGAUUAAGGAAUCUCGUCCACCUGGAUCUAUCUGAUAAUCACCUCAUGGGACAUAUCCCUCCAACUCUCGGUCGUCUAAGCAAAUUGAAAAUUUUGAACUUGUCUUUUAACUCCCUUGUCGGUAAUAUCCCAUCCAAUGUAGGUCAUCUAACCCAGCUAACUACUUUGGCUAUUGCCUCAAACCGAAUGAAUGGUUCCAUCCCAUUAGGAAUCGGGAAUUUGAAGGUUCUUCAAGUUCUUGACCUGUCCAGAAAUGAAAUUGGAGGUUCAAUUCCUUCAACACUUGGCCAUUUAAAGUGGUUGAGAAGUGUAGACUUGUCCCAAAACAAAUUUGUUGGCCCAAUCCCUUCGUCUCUGGGUCAUUUGACACAGCUAAUUACUUUGAAUAUGUACAACAACAAACUUGAUGGCCCAAUUCCUCCAGAACUCAUGAAUUGCUCAAAGCUGAGGAUAUUAAAAUUGGGAAAUAUUAUCUUGAUCUAAGCGGUAACUUCAUUAAUGGUAAAAUACCUUCCCAACUUGGAGAAUUUCCACGCAUAGACACCGUGGACCUUUCCAUGAAUAACCUUUCCGGUGGAAUCCCUGUAUUUGUCAGAAAAGUGCCACACUUAGAUGUGUCAGGCAAUAAAUUCGGAGGAGAAAUCCCAACUACUUUGGCAAAUGCGCCACCGCCACAUCACAAAACGAUUGCCACUCGCUUGGUUGCAAUUAUUCUUGCUAUGGUCGCAUUCCUUGCCUUGAUAUUUGGAAUCUUGAUUAUCCAUAGACGAAGGGAUAAGGAAGUUGAACCAACUGGGACAGGAGAAAUUACCAAGUGCGCUGAUGAGUUUGUAAUUUGGAAUUACGAUGGUAGAAUUACAUUUCAAGACAUGAUUGAAGCCACUGAGGAUUUCGAUAUCAAAUACUGCAUUGGAACCGGAGGCUACAGCAGCGUUUACAGAGCACGGCUGCCCAGUGGAAAAGUGGUUGCUUUGAAGAAGCUUCACCGUUCAAAAACUGAGGAGUUAGCUUCCCUCGAGAGUUUCCGGAAUGAGGCUCGUCUACUGUCCCAAAUACGGCAUCGAAAUAUCGUAAAGCUUUACGGCUUUUGUUUGCACAAGACAUGCAUGUUCUUAAUCUAUGAGUACAUGGAAAUGGGAAGCUUGUUCUGUGUUCUACGCACAGAUGAGGAAGCUGUUGGGUUGGAUUGGACUAAAAGGGUGAACAUUGUGAAGGGUAUGGCUCAUGCUUUGUCAUACUUGCAUCAUCACUGCACACCACCAAUUGUUCACCGGGACAUAUCAAGCAACAACAUUCUACUCAACUCAGAAUUAGAAGCAUUUGUUGCGGACUUUGGCAUUGCUAGAUUGUUAAAUUUUGACUCAUCCAACCGAACUCUUUUAGCUGGCACUUUUGGAUAUAUUGCUCCAGGUCAUCCUCUAGCUAUUCCUCUUAUGCAUCUUUAAUUAUCCUCUUAAUUAAUUUUAUAUAUACUCUGCCAAAUAGUUUUUAAGCAGCUUUAUUUAGGUCACUACUUGGUUCGAAUUUUGAAAAUGCUAAGGGGCUAAAAAUAAAUUUAAACUUUGCCUACCCCUUUUCCUUUUAAAACACACACACUGAACAUAAGUUAAAACAUAAGUUUCUUUGUCAUAACUUGCUGCGGAAGCUAAAAAACAUGAACAAAUUGUUCUUGUUAUUAUUUAUGGAAACGUUACUAAUGAAGGCCUUUGUUUUCCUAUAGAACUUGCCUACACCGUGGUUGUGACAGAGAAAUGUGAUGUUUAUAGCUUUGGAGUGGUGGCACUAGAAGUACUAGUGGGAAGGCAUCCAGAAGCGCUCCUCUCAUCGUCAUCUUCAUCAUUGGAUAAAAAUAUAAAGCUGAUUGAUUUGUUGGACCCACGCCUCCCGGCUCCGGGGGAUCAAAUGAUUACGCAGGAUAUCAUUCUUGUUUCAAUAGUAGCAUUUUCAUGCUUACGUUCUCAACCAAAGUCUCGACCUACAAUGCAACUCGUGUCCAACGAAUUUAUCGCUCGCAAUAUGACACCAAUGCAGAAACCUUUUCAUGAAAUUUCAAUUUUGGAGCUUAGAAACCAAGAAAUGUAUUUGGUUGAAUAAUGUGAUUUUUCCAAUAAAGGAGACUGUUAAUUGGUUGUGAAAUUAUUAGGUAGUAGCAAUGUAGCAAAUAUUAUGUGUUCGACGAAUUGUCUGCCUUAGUAUUUUUUAAUUCCAUUCACACUACGACAUUAAUCUCUUUUGUAAAGCUUGUACUUUCGCAGUUCACUCUGAUAAAAUAAGGUUUGUCUAAUUGUCUCCAUCUCAAUGAUCUGAAUUAACCAGCAUAUUAAGGAAUUUAAGGU